AUGAAGAAGGUCAUGGCUUGUGAGAACAACAAGAUACUGAUAUUUGGAGCCACAGGGUACCUAGGCAAGUACAUGGUGAAAGCAAGCAUUUCUUUGGGCCAUCCAACCUAUGCUUACGCCCGAUCAAUCAAACCCAUCACUGACCCUUCCAACCUUGGGCUGCACAAAGAAUAUGAAGCCAUGGGAGUCACCGUCUUCCAAGUAAUUACAUACAUACAUACAUAUAUAUAUAUAUAUAUAUAUUACUUAUGCUAAUUAACCUCUCACUUCUUAAUUGGCUAAACUCUACUAAUUCAUUGCUCAUAUUUCGUAUAUAGCUAAUCAAUUUAAUGUUUAGGAGAGCCAAUUUGAUAUGUUGUGAACUGGACAGGGUGAACUCGAUGCGAAAAGCUAGUCGCAGUGUUUCGACAAGUUGACAUUGUAAUAUCUACAUUGACUAUUCCUCAGCUUCUUCAACAGUUCAAAAUUAUCAACGCCAUCAAAGAUGCUGGCAAUAUAAAGGCGAAAAUAUAUGUGAAAAAUGUUCUUUUGCGUUGACUGUGAAUCUGAACCACGAUUAUGUACAUAUUCUUGGCUACAUUACUCAGUCAAAGUUCAUUAUAUAUAUAUAUAUAUAUAUAUGUUCGUGUCUAACUGUGUACAACAUAUACAUGUUGGGACUAUGAAAUCAGAGAUUUAUUCCCGUAGGGUUUGGAGAUGAUCCAAAAAGAGCAAGCGUGCUGCCGCCUUUCGAGGCUAUACAUGAGAAUAGAAGGGUGAUUAGAAGGGCGACUGAAGCAGCAGGAAUCCCGUACACUUAUGUGUGUGGAAACACAUUUGCUGUAUAUUUUGUUGAUUGUUUGCUUCAUCCUCGGGAAGAGCGUGAGGAAGUCAUUGUUUAUGGCACUGGUACAGUCAAGGGUAAGUAUGCAAGUGGUGCACUUUACUUCUGAACCACAAAUGCACUAUUUUCCUAGUAGAAUGUUACAAGUUUUUCUUUUAUUUUUAAUAUUUAUAUAAAAAUAAUUUACACCGGUUACGUCGCUUGAGAAAUGAAAUGAAAAGUAUUUUGCCCCUGUGAAGUCAUCUUCAACUACAACAAAUAUUGGUUAUCGCUAAGGACUUGCUUGAUAAAUUUUUUGUUUUUAGUAUCUUCAGUUCACACUUUUUUUUUUUUUGGCUAGAAAUAGCAAGAAAGUGUAUGAAAAUAAUAAGGUACGAAGAAAUAUGGCAUAGAGGGAGGAGGUAGCAGUAGAAGGCAUGAAACGGAGACAUCAUUGAUAAUCACAAAUAUAACUGUUAAAAACAAUACGUUUUGUGGUCGCACAUGCUCAAUGUCUAGGUUGAGACUCAUAGACACAUCUUAGUCGAACGAUAUUAUUUUUCUUCUCUUCGUGGUUGUAAUUUAUAUUCUUGUUUCAACAAAAAAAAAGGUUAUAUUGUUGAAUUCAUUUAUCUUACAUAGGAAAUGUAUGCUUGACAAACCUGUUUGUACCAUACUUGACCCGAAACUACUGAGCACCGGUCAACGUUAUACCGUCAAGGACCCAGAAGAGCUUCCCUUCAAUCAGGAGGCCAAUCACAAUGCGACACGUGUCGACAUCAGAAGCCAAUCACAGCUCGACACGUGUCAACAUCAGAAGCCAAUCACAACACGACACGUGUCAAUAUUAGAACAAAACUAGAAACUCUCUUCUAUAAAUAGGGAUCAUUCUCCCACAAUAAUCUCUAAUGUCAUUUUGUACUAAACUAUUCACUAGAACUCACAAUAUGAGAGCUUGAAUCUAUGUAUUUGUGUAAACCCUUCAUAAUUAAUGAGAACUCCUCUACUCCGUGGACGUAACCGAUCUGGGUGAACCACGUACAUCUUGUGUUUGCUUCCCUGUCCCUAUUCAUUUACGUACUUAUCUUCACUAGUGAUCGAAGCAACCAAGCGAAGGUCACAAACCUGACACUUUCUGUUGUACCAAAGUCCUCGCUGAUUUUGUGCAUCAACAUUUGGCGCCGUCUGUGGGAAAGACACUUACUCCCACUCUCUUCAGCUUUGUUAAGCUGGUUUCCACCGCUCGUACACUUUCUUUUAGCCAAACAUCUCUCUCCAACAUGGGGAGCGAAAGAAGUCAUAGCACACAGAAUGACACCCCAAUUGGACCUAGUAUGAAGCAACGAAAGCAGGAAGGAAAUAGAGUUACUCUUCAAGCUAAAGUCGAUGAGUUAGAAGCUCAGAACAACAAGAUAGUGAUGAGGAACGAGGUCCUCCAGGAGCAGUAUGAAAAACUUUUUGAGAUGCUUCACGAGGCUAGGCAUGCUCAAGCACACAAGCUCGUCGCCCCUGCUGAGGUCAACAAUCAUCUGAAUGCCCCCCAACACGGAGGGUCACCGAUAUCCAACACGGACAUCCUUGAUAGGGAUCGAGCUACACAUCAAUGUGAUAAUCAACAUGAAACUUCUCUCAACCCACAUCAAAAGCCGUCUAUCGCGAUUGUCGAGACUUCCUAAAGCAACGUCGAGAGAAUCCCAUCCACAUAAGCUCGAAGAUCAAUGACCCAAGAGUUUCUGAAAGACUCCGUCCUCUCCCACGACCCAGGCCAGCAGUUAAUUUAGGGAAUGGGCAACAAGUCCCAGAAGAACAUGAAGGUACAGGGGACUCGGAAAUGUUCCGACAUACUCACUCUAGGAGUCAGUGUGACGAGUCCAAGGAAAAAUCAUGCUAUCUUGAUCAAACUUUCCUACUUCCAAGAGGUGAUGGGGACUUACGGAAGAAAACUUCAGUGAUGCACAACUCCACUCAGGACCCCCUCGUCCUACAGCUCCUGGAGGAAGUAAACAAGUUGAAGGCUGAACGUCAAGCCGAGAUACCUGACUGGAACCAACCCAGGCCUGGCCCUCUCACAAGAAGGAUCCUCAACACCCCCUCCAAGCGAAGACAAAGUAGAAGCUUGACUUACAACUCUAUACUGGAAGGGAAGACCCGAUUGAACACCUUAACCUCUUUGAGUCCACCAUGGUAUACCGGAGACACACCGACGAAGAACGGUGCCUUCUCUUCCCCUCUACCCUCUCUGGCGGAGCUUUAAACUGGUAUUGCUGUCUUCCACCUGAGACAGUAGACUUAUUUGAAGAAUUGAGGAAGCUGUUUGUCUCUCAACACAUCUUCCAAACCGAUCGCUUGCAUUCCGCAGAUGACUUGUACACUAUUCGCCAGAAGCCAGACGAGUCAUUACGAAAGUAUGCUGGCCGCUUCAGCCAUGAGUAUUCUCGUUGCGCUGAGGCAGAUGACAAGACCGCCCUCAAGGCCUUCACGGCAGGCUUACGUGACUGUUUCUUCAAGUACAUGAUCAAUGCCAACACUUGGAAGACUUACUCUGAGGUGAUGGCACAAGCUUACAACCAUGCCUCCGCCGAGGCAAGGACAUAUCAAGGGAAACCCCCUACAGUCACCCCUUAUCAACCUUCCAAACGGUAGCAGCACACCCCCUGCUUCAUUUAAUGCUUCGCCAAGUCAGCAGACAUAUCAAUCCCAAGGCAAAAGGAAAGAUUUCCAUCCUCACCAAUCUCAUUUUAAUAAAAAGAAUAAGGGACACUAUCGCGAUAACUCAGGAUAUUGCACAAUAACGCCCGUCCUCAGGCAAUCAACGCAGUGGGCCAAUCAGGUGUCAAGACAGGCCCUACCCCGAGGUAUGAGACAUACACACCUUUGAACGCUACAUGUGCGGCCAUCUACCCCAGUAUAGCUCACCUAAUACCAAAGUCAAAGCCAAGACAGCCAGAUUACAAGUCCACGAAGAACACGGGCAUGUUUUGUUGCUACCACGAGUAUAAUGGCCAUGAUGGCGAGAAGUGCAUCAUCCUCCGUGAUCAUAUUGAAGCUUUGGCACGUGAAGGAAAAAUUGAUCAGUUCCUCCUUCACCCUCCAAGGGAUAACCGUAACCAACGCCAGAUGAAUGUGAUAUAUUCCAUAAGCGGCGGCACACCCAUGUCUGAAUCAUCCAAUAGGGCCAUGAAAAACAGUGAACGAACUUUGAGACCUGGCUAUUAAGUGUUUCACCUGGAAGACAAUAGGGGAGGCAAGUAUCAAAGCCUAACUGGGAUCCAAUAUGUUUCUACCCUGAGGAAGAAAGAGGUAUCAUCUACCCCCACAACGACCCGUUGAUCGUGGAGGCUCACAUAGCAAAUUUCGAUGUGAAACGAAUCCUGAUAGACACAGGUGCUUCAGUCAAUAUCAUGUUUGCUGAAGCUUUCAAGGAACUUAAUGUAGCUGAACACUUGCUUGAUCGCUCGAUUUCUCCUUUGAUAAGCUUCUCUGGCGAUAUCGUGCAACCUUUAGGGAGUAUACACUUACCCCUCACCAUUGGUACAGGCCCCUACACAACUACUAUUACCACUAACUUCCUAGUGGUCAAUUGCCCGACGACAUACAAUGUCAUCUUUGGGCGCACAUGCAUCAAUAAUCUCAAGGCCAUGGUAUCCACACAUAUGUUGAUGAAAUUUCCAACCCCUUUCGGCAAUGGAUACAUCAGGGGAGAUCAACUUAGUGCUCGAUCAUGUUACAACACUUCAGUUAAGCAGCAACACCUGCCUGUCCCCACGGAGACCCUCUUUAUACAUAACCAAGCAGUAAAGACCAGUCCAGAUGAAGCCAACUCGGAUCUUCAUGAUGGCAACAGUUAACCCGAUGACCCUCGAGAUGACUCCUUCACCCAGCAAGCACAACCCGCUGAAGAGUUAGAGAAUGUCUCUAUCUCCAAAGACCAUCCAGAUCGCAUGGUGAAGAUUGGCACCACUUUGUCGCCACCCCUUCGGCUGUCGCUGAUCUCAUUUUUGCAAGAGAACGCCGAGGUCUUCGCUUGGUCAUAUAAAGAUAUGCCGGGCAUCUCUCCCGAUAUCAUCUGUCACCACUUGAGUAUUGAUCCCAAGACCAAACCAGUAAAACAGAAGCGAAGAUCUUAUGAUGUUGAAUGAUAUGAGGCGAUGAAAGCAGAAGUUGAAAAACUCAAGGGCAUAGGCUUCGUCCGUGAAGUCAAUUACCCAACAUGGGUAGCAAAUGUUGUCCUUGUUAAGAAAAAUCCGACCAAGGAAAGUCUCCUGCUUCAAAAGGUCUUGUGGAGAAUGUGUGUCGAUUACACCGACCUAAAACAAGGAUGUCCGAAAGAUAGUUUCCCCCUUCCUCUCAUUGAUAGACUUAUAGACUCUACGGCAGGGUGUGAGCUAUUGAGCUUCAUGGACACUUAUUCAGGAUACAACCAAAUCCUCAUGAACCCCUCAGACCAAGAACACACAGCCUUCACUACUGACAGGGGACUAUAUUGCUACAAAGUUAUGCCUUUCGGCCUAAAGAAUGCAGUAGCAACUUAUCAGAGACUGGUCAAUUCAAUGUUCGCCGAACAGAUUGGGAAGAGCAUGGAAGUUUACGUUGAUGAUAUGCUAGUCAAGAGCAAACAUGCUGACCAACACAUCACCAACCUAUAUGAAACUUUCACCAUUCUAAAGAGGUAUCAAAUGAGGUUGAACCCCAACAAAUGUGCCUUCGGCAUGGGCUCUGGCAAAUUCUUAGGCUUCAUGAUUAGCCAACGAGGCAUUGAAGCUAACCCCGAAAAGAUCAAAGCAAUCCUCGACAUGAAAGAGCCAGUAACUUCAAAAGACAUCCAAAGCCUUACUGGCAAGGUGGCAGCCUUAACCAGAUUCAUCUCUAAGGCCACAGACAGAUGUGCUCAUUUCUUCAAAGCACUCAAGAGAAAUAAGAAGUACAUUACAUGGACGGAGGAAUAUGCCAAGGCAUUCAGGAACCUCAAAGAGUACAUGAGUAAAGCCCCUCUGCUCUCCAAACCAGAAGUUGGUGACACUCUCAUUAUCUAUCUAUCGGUUUCAGCUUCAGUAAUCAGUUCUGUUCUUAUUCGAAAGGACAGUGGUGUCAAACGGCCCGUCUACUACGCUAGCAAUGCCCUACAAGAUGCGGAGACACGAUAUUCCAACAUUGAGAAAUUAGCUCUAGCAUUGGUCAUGUCUGCUAAAAAACUUCGCCCUUAUUUCUAAGCACACGCCAUCAUCGUGCUUACCAAUCAGCCUCUUCGACAGAUACUUCAGAGUCCUGACACGUUUGGGCGAAUGAUUAAAUGGGCGAUAGCAUUGGGUGAGUUUGACAUCUCCUACCAACCAAAACCAGCCGAAAAUGGGCAAGCAGUAGCAGAUUUCAUCGCCGACUUCACAUAUCCUGUUCACAUUGCUUCUACACCUGAAGCAGUAGCUUCAUUACCAUCGGAAGCUCAGAAGAUAGAAUCAACAACCUUAACAUGGAGUUUGUAUGUUGAUGGAUCAUCCAACCAAUAGGGAUGCAGAGCAGGAUUAGUCUUCAUUACCCCCGACAAAGUCGCGAUAGAAUACGCUAUUCGUUUCAAAUUCAAGGCAUCGAACAACGAGGCCGAAUACGAAGCCCUUCUAGCAGGCUUACGUUUGGCCAAGCACCUUGGGGUUAAACAAAUUGAUAUCUUCAGUGACUCCCAAUUAGUGGUCAACCAAGUCACGAACAACUUUGAUGCUAAGGAUAGCUCCAUGGCAGCAUAUCUUGAUCAAACACGACUUUUGCUCAAGCACUUCCACUACCAGAUCACCCAAGUUCCUCGAGCGGCAAACAGUCAUGCAGAUGCUUUGGCUCGCCUCGCCUCGGCAGUGGAAGACAAGAUUGGGAGAAAAAUUCAUGUCGAAUUGUUGGCAGCACCAAGCACCAUGGUCGCGGAGGUGUGCAAUUUACAACAAGGAGAUAGUUGGAUCACCCCAAUUUAUAAAUUCCUUGCCCAUGGCACCCUCCCAAAUGACAAAGUCCAAGCUAAGCAGAUUCGAUACAAGUCUGCUCGCUACCUGAUCAUUAAUGACCAACUCUACAAGCGCGGUUUUACCCUACCCUACCUAAGAUGCCUUACACCUGCAGAGGCGGAAAUUGUCCUUCAGGAAAUACAUGAAGGAGUCUGCGGAGAUCAUGCUAGGUCUCGAUCCCUAGCACACAAGACUUUUCGCCAAGGAUACUAUUGGCCAACACUCCACCAAGAUGCCAUCAGAAUAUCUCGCUCAUGUGAUAAGUGUCAACGCUACGCAACUAUCCCUCACUCCCCUCCCAAGUCGCUCACUCCUAUGAUCAGCCCUUGGCCCUUGGCCCAAUGGGGACUUGAUUUGAUCGGCCCAAUGCCUGCAGGGAAGGGCAAGGUCCGCUAUGCAAUCGUUGCAGUUGACUACUUCACAAAGUGGGCUGAAGUAGAACCCUUGGCAACCAUUACUGAGGGAAAAAUAGAAGACUUCGUAUGGAAGAACAUCCUAUGUAGAUUCGGCAUUCCCAAUGCGAUAGUCACGGACAAUGGGCGGCAGUUCGACAACAAGAAGUUCAAGAUGUUCUGCUCUAAGUUCAACAUCAACUUAUGUUUUGCCUUUCCAGCCCAUCCCCAAUCUAAUGGACAAGUCGAGGCCGUCAACAAAAUAAUCAAGCGCACUCUGAAAACUAGCUUGGACAAAGCUAAAGGUUGUUGGCCAGAAUUCGUACCCCAAGUUCUUUGGUCAUACCGCACUUCAUAUCAGACUUCCACAGGAGAAACUCUAUUCUCACUUGCUUUUGGUACAGAAGCAGUUGUCCCGGUUGAGCUUGAGCAAGCAACAUACCGAAUCCAGAAUUACAUGCAGAGUGAGAACGACAAACAACUCACCCUCAACCUGGAUCUAGUCGAGGAACACAGAAAUCAGGCUUACCUGAGGAAUGUCGCCUACAAGUAGCGCAUUUCCAACUACUACGACUCAAGGGUCAAACCUCGCUCUUUCAAAAUGGGAGACUGGGUACUGAAGAAAAGAUUACUCUGUGAUAGGGUCCCGAGUGAAGGAACACUCAGUCCUAACUGGGACGGACCGUUCGAGGUCAUCGGCAUCAGUCGCCCUGGCUCCUACAAGCUCAGAAACUCCGACGGCAAAACCCUUGGCCAUCUAUGAAAUGCUGACCACUUGAAGUACUAUUACAAAUAGACUCACAUUGUACAAGUGUUAAGCUACAGCCGUUCGACAUCCUAUGUAACAAAGACCAUUUGGUAUGAAUUCAAUAAAAAGGUGAUUUAGCCAACUCGGCCCUAAACUCUUUUACAUUCUGAGCAAUGAAACACUCAAGUGUUGAAGCUUCAAACGCAAAUGUUUCCAAUACAAAACAAAAUCUAAGUAUGUGUCAACAAGACUAUACAAAGGAUCUACAUCAUACAUUCCAACACAUUUCAUACAUAAACAUCAUACAUUCCAACACAUUCAUACAUAAACAUCAUACAUUCAAUACAUUCAUACAUAAACAUCAUACAUUCCAACACAUUCAUGCAUAAACAUCAUACAUUCCAACACAUCCAUACAUAAGCCAACUGUGCUUCGAAAGGGUUCAACACACUUUGUGUCAUUCGACAUUUGGCCACAAUGUGCCUCGACACCUUGCCCUUAUUCUCACUAACUAGGUGAUGAAGGAACUCAACCUUCGUACCAACCAACUAGGUGAUGAAAUGUACAACCCGUACUCUAAUAUUAUUUGGAAACUUGCCACCCUUAUCACCAAUCAGGUGAAGAAGGAACUCAUCUUCAUGCCACCAACCAGGUGAUGAAAUGUACAACGCGUACUUUCCUUCAUGCCACCAACCAGGUGAUGAAAUGUACAACGCGUACUCUCCUUCAUGUCACUAACCAGGUGAUGAAAUGUGAUGAAAGGUGAUUAAGGAAUUCACAUUCGUACCACCAACCAAGUGAUGAAAGCAACCUACCAUUCAUUCCACUAACCAGAAGACGAGUGGUACAACUUGUACAUGUGAACUCCUAGCAUUCACAAAUAAUCAAAAACCAUCAAGCUUUACAACUCAACUAGGGGAGCACUUAUGCCUAACAAGAGCUAUAGUCACCAACAAAGUCUUAUUGCAAGCCAACAAUGGCUUCAGUGCAUGGUAUACAAAGAUCAAGCUCUUCAGCCCUCUUGCAUCUGCUUCAGACAUUUCUCCUCUGUAACAAUGCAAACACUACAACUCAUAGAAAGCUUCAAACGCUCUUGAUCAAGACUGUUCGAAGCAAAUUCAAUUUAUAUGGUUCAUCCAAACCUUCGACUACUACAAGAUGUGGCUUGAAUCACAAUCUCUCACUUAACAGUAUGGAAGCAAAAUUUGUAUACGUUGUCUCUCCCACAUUUUCAAAUUUCUAGUUUUCCCAAAAAAAAAAAAACAAAAAAAAAAAAAAAAAAAACAAAAAAAAAAAAAAAAAAAAAAAAAAAAAGGAAAUUGGAAAUUGGGAAAUUCAACAAAGCUUCAUCAAUGGAACACAAACUACAAUCCUCAAAAGCUUCGCACUAUCUUCAUCAAGAUAGUGUGAAGCAAAAUCAAUUUAUGGUGCCAACAAAAGCUUCAUCAAUGGAGGACAAAUAUAUCAAUCUCAAAAGCUUUGCACUAUCUUCAUCAAGAUAGUGUGAAGCAAAAUCAAUUUAUGGUGCCAACAAAAGCUUCAUCAAUGGAGGACAAAUAUCAAUCUCAAAAGCUUUGCACUAUCUUCAUCAAGAUAGUGUGAAGCAAAAUUAAUUUAUGGUGCCUAACUUCAAUAAAGCUUCACCUAUAAAGCUUCAACACCAAAAGCCUUCACCUAUAAAAGCUUCAACCCUUCAACACAAAGCUUCACCUAUAAAGCUUCAACACCAAAGCUUCACCUAUAAAGCUUCAACACCAAAGCUUCACCUAUCAAGCUUCAACCCCAAAGCUUCACCUAACAAUACAAAAUUUCAACACCAAAACAUAUAAAAGCUUCACACACUCUUCAUCAAGAUAAUGUGAAGCAAAAUCAAUUCAUGAUGACCAACAAAGCUUCAACCUCAAAGCUUCACUUACAAAGCUUCAACACCAAAGCUUCACCAACAAAACUUUUAAAUAUAUAUAUAUAUAUAUAUAUAUAUAUAUAUAUAUAUAUAUAUAUAUAUAUUUUUUAAUUUUUAUUUUUUUGGAAAUUCGAAAAUUCAAAAAUCCAGAGAUUUGAAAAUUCAAAAAAAAAAAAAAAAAAAAAAAAAUUGCCUAGGCCUCAUCUUCUUUGGGCCUAACAACUUUCAUAACAAAUAUAUAUGAAGAAGGAGUUUUGGGCUACCACUUAGAAAGGAAAUGCCUCAUUCGUCAACUUCCUCGACCAGAGACUUGGGGGACUCCCACCAUAUGCUACUGCACCUUGAUACUCGGAAGUCUCACACCACUCAGUGACUUGGAUUUUUCAAGUCUCAAACCGAGAAGUUUUCCUCACUCGGGAAAUUAAGGGAACACUACCUCAAACUACAUGCUUCACUCACAAAGCUUCAACAAUACAAGUUUCAACAAAAGAAAAAAAUUCAAAGAACUUUCUGAAGAAGGCUUUGGUGCAUUUAACACAAUACGUUGAAAUGAAGCAAAGCUUAUUUAUUAAUAUUUCCGAUAAGCCACAAAUAUGUACAUAUACAUGAGUCAAAAUAAACAAAAAAAAGGGAGCCUUCACAAAGGUUGCUUAGGGGAAGUCUCAGCAGUCGGUAGAGCCCCAGAAAGAGAAAGCACCGGAGGGUGGUUAUCCGGAGCCUCAGUACUGGACAGAACCCCAGAAGGAGGAGGCAUUGGAGGUUGAUCAUUUGGAGCUUCAUUAUGCGGUACAGCCCCAGAAGACGAAGGUAAUAAAUGCCUUUGGAACAAACCCACAAACCUUUUAUGAUCAAGUAAAGCCUGACCAUCAGAUUCCUGCAUCUGGUCAAGUUUCCUCUUCAUGUUUGUAGCAUAGUUAUGCGCGAGCCUGUGCAACUGUUUAUUCUCAUCCUUGAGCCCUCUAAUCUCCUGUUUGAGACUUAUCACUUCAGCAGCCAAUGAUUUAACUUGGCGGGUUCUAGCAAAUAGGCGUUGGGCCAUAUUAGACACAGAAGCUGCACACUGAACACUAAGAGCCAGAGAAUCCUUAACAGCCAACUCAUCAGACCGUUUGGAAAGUAGUCUGUUAUCUCUGGGAGUGAGAAGGUUCCUAGCCACCACCGCAGCGGUCAUAUCAUUCUUCAUCACAGAAUCCCCAACGGUAAGAGGACCAGUAGAGGAUAUGAAGGAUGGGCGCCAUAUGUUGUCUGGAGAAGGCGUGGCUGCCUCUUCUCCAAGGUUCAAGUCAAAACGACGGUCGAAGGGGCCAGACAUUUUCAAAGGUGUUGAAGAGAGAAGAGGUCAGACAAAUCAAGAUCUUAGAAGUGCAAGAAGGGAGCUUCUAAUGGUGGAGAUUCAGGUGUGUUGUGGAACUUAAUGCCAGCCUCUAUAAAAAUCUGCACUCGACGGAGCUUCAGAAAUCGAAGAGGUGUUUGCUUUCUCAAAAGUUGGGCUGCUCAGAGACCACGAGGGCCGAUCUCAAAAAUCGAAAAGACGUUUCCUUUCUCAAAAGCUGGGCUAUUUAGAGACCAUGAGGGCCGAUCUCAGAAAUCGAAGAAGCACCUGCUUUUUCAGCCUCGUCAGCACCUGUCACAAGCACACUCAGCUUUUCGGAAAUUACGGGCAAUCUGUCGAAGAUUUCUGGUGAAGUAGAAAGCACGUGAAUUUUACUGUUCAAUCACCACUCUCCACACGCACCAUCAACUCCUCGGGUACCACAUAUAACUUUGCCAAAGAUCUCUGACAAAGUUUAAGCACGAGAAUUUCGAAGUUCCAGCUACCUUACUAUUACCCACAAGGGUAAAGGAACAGCACCACUGCUUGAUAACUGGAAAGUCCCUAUGUGUGUCGACCUCCGUGUUCCGUGGCAAUACAGGCUAGCAAGAACGUCCAACCUUUACUCACAUUCGAGAAAAGACUCUCAACAUAAUUACUUUCUAAAAAACUGAAGCGGCACUGCUUUCCGAAUCUCGAGAGCCAGAUCCCCGACGGGAUUGCUUGUUCGAAAACCGAAGAGGCACAGCUCUCAGAACUUCGAGAGCCAAAUUUCCUUAGAUAAAGCUUGUAUGUAAUCUUCACACGCAACAUCAGCUUUCUAGAUACCACAUACCACUUUUUCAAAAUGCUCUGACAAAGUUAAAACACGUGAAGCUGGCAGCUCCCACUACAUUGCUGUGACCAAGAAGGGUAAAUGAAUAACAUUACUACUUGUUAUUGGGAAAUCCCUAUAUAUAUUGACCUCCCUCUUCAACAGACAGGCAAACCUGCAAAAAUGCUCAACCCUUUCUCACAUUCGAGAAUGCACCCUCAACAUAACCUCUCGAAAUACUCAGCUUUAUUUCCCCCCGAUAAUACCUCAGCAAAUAAGCCACACCAAGAACAAGAGUAUCUCAUAUCAUCAGGGUCAAAAGCAAGAGUAUCCCAUAUCAUGCUUUCUCCCUGUCCUUGUCUUCGUCCUUGUCCACACCUGCAGGACAAAGAGAAAGAGAACGGUCAGUCGGAACCUGAAAUCAAACCUCCAAUCUGGAACUGACUGCCUGAGACCUUUGCCUGGUUGCUUACUUAGCAUUGCUCUCGAGAACUCAUCCUCAACUGCUAUCAAGGUCAUGAAUUCCACCGGCACAUACCUCAUGACAGUUGAUCAGAUAUUGGCUCUUUACACGGAAGUUGCCAAGCGUGGAUGAGUCACUAUGAAGGAAUGUUCUGAAGGACCAUUUAAAUUCAAAGGUUGCACACCACUUCUGCCAUGCAAAAGAUUGAAGCAGAAGGUUCAACGGUGAGCUGAAACAGAUCACUACAGCAUGACACCUUUCUAUACCACAUUCAUUAUUCCGUCAACAGCAAAAGUAUCCCAUAUCAUCAAGGUCGAACGUACUCUAGAUUUGAUGGACUUGUUUUGACCCUCAAAUUCUUGAGUCAGCCUUAUACUCUGAAGGGAACCAGAAAACCCUCCAGCACAGUUCAAGAAUAAGCCUGUGGAAAGUUACUUCUUCAAAAGCAAAAGUAUCUCAUAUCAUCUCUUCUCCAUUUGCUUCUCCUUAUCUUGGCAGCUGAAUGAGAGACAAGGAGAAGGAGAAUAAUCAACCGGAAGCCGAAGUCGAACCUCCGAUCUUGGGUUGCUUGCUUGGAAGUUUGACUGCUUACCUUGUCUGUCACCUCUUUUGGCAGAUCUCCUAGCUCGGCGACUUGGGGGACUCCUACUAUAGGGUUUGUAUCACACUUGACCAAGCCCGAAACUACAAGUAAGCUUCAAGUGAAAUUGAUACAUUACCUUGUGCAUCUUUAUUGGUUAAAGAUACCACCCAUGGAUGGAGGAAAAGUACUUCCAGAGAAGAUGCCACAUCUACAUAUGAGAGAGAUAAAGCACGUGAAAAUGAUACCACACUUCAGUACUUAGAAGUUUCGUGAUUACUCAAUGGCUUGGAUCUUGCAAGUUCCCAACCGAGGAGCUUCCAUCACUCGGGAACUUAGGGGAGCACUGUUUGUACCAUACUUGACCAAUCCCGAAACUACUGAGCACCGGUCAACGUUAUACUGUCAAGGACCCAGAAGAGCUUCCCUUCAACCAGGAGGCCAAUCACAAUGCGACAUGUGUCGACAUCAGAAGCCAAUCACAGCUCGACAUGUGUCAACAUCAGAAGCCAAUCACAACACGACACGUGUCAAUAUUAGAACAAAACUAGAAACUCUUUUCUAUAAAUAGGGAUCAUUCUCCCACAAUAAUCUCUAAUGUCAUUUUGUACUAAACUAUUCAUUAGAACUCACAAAAUGAGAGCUUGAACCUAUGUAUUUGUGUAAACCAUUCACAAUUAAUGAGAACUCCUCUACUCCGUGGACGUAGCCGAUCUAGGUGAACCACGUACAUCUUGUGUUUGCUUCCCUGUCCCUAUUCAUUUACGUACUUAUCUUCACUAGUGAUCGAAGCAACCAAGCGAAGGUCACAAACCUGACACUUUCUGUUGUACCAAAGUCCUCGCUGAUUUUGUGCAUCAACAAAACCAAUAUGCAAUUCAAUAAUUUUGAUGUUCUUUGUGUUCCUUAUUCUCUUAUUUUGGAUGUCUAUAGCUGUGUUGAAUUACGAGGAAGAUAUAGCCAUCUACACAAUAAAAGCAGCAUCAGAUACAAGGGCAGCCAAUCACGUCCUCACUUGUAAACCGCAACGAGACAUUAUAUCUCAGUUGGACUUGAAACUUACUUGUAGUUUCAGGCUUGGUCAAGCGCGAUACAAACCAUGUAGUAGGAGUCCCCCAAGUCGUCGAGCUAGGGGAUCUGCUGAAAGAGGUGACAGACAAGGUAAGCAAUCAGUCCCAGAUCAGAAGUUUGAUUUCGAGUUCCGGCUGAUUGUUCUCAUUCUCCUUAUCUUGCAGGCAGCAUGAAGGAUAAAGAGAAGAAAAAGGAGAAUAGAUGAUAUGAGAUACUUUUGCUUUUGAAGAAGUAACUUUUCACAGACUUAUUCUUGAACUGGGCUGGAAGGUUUUCUGGUUUCCUCCAGAGUAUAAGGCCGACUGAAGAAUUUGAGGGUCAAAACAAGUCCAUCAAAUCUAGAGUACGUUCGACCCUGCUGAUAUGGGAUACUUUUGCUGUUGACAAAGUAGUGGAUGUAUCGACACGUGUUCUGUUACGCUUGUCUCCACAUGCUUCCUUGUAUCAUUCUCACUUUCCCUAUCUGUUCCUCAGGCAGAUGUGGUAACUUCUCUGGAAGCAUAAGAUGUUGAAGAUGAGUACUCGAGAGCAAUGCCAGGUAAGUAAUCAGGUAAGGGGUUCCAGGCAAUCAGUUCCUGACUGGAAGCUUGAUUCCAAUGGCUGACUGAUUGCUCUCUUUCUCCUUGUCUUGCAGGUAAGAACAAGGCCAAAUGAAAAAGACAGGGAAAAAGCAUGAUAUGGGAUACUUUUGCUUUUAACCAUGAUGAUAUGAGAUAUUCUUGCUCUGGUGUAGCUUGUUUGCAGAGGUAUUACCGGGGGGGGGGAAAGAAAGCUGAGCAUUUCGAGAGGCUUCGUUGGGAGUGCCCUCGCAGAUAUAUAAGGAAGGGUUGAACAUUUUUGCAGGUUUGCAUGUCCGUUGAGGAUGGAGGUCGACAUAUAUAGGAGUCUCCCUAACAACAAGUAGUAAUGCUAUUCCUUUACCCUGCUUGGUCAUAGCACGGUAGUGGGAGCUGCCAGCUUCACGUGUGUCUGAGCACUUUGAAAAAGUGGUCUGUGGUAUCUGGAUAGCUGAUGUUGCGUGUGAAGAUUACAGACAAGUUUUAUCCAAGGAGAUUUGGUUCUCGAAGUUGAGAAAGCGGUGCAUCUUCGAUUUUCGAACAAGCAAUCCUAUCGGGGAUCUGGCUCUCGAGAUUCGGAGAACGGUGCCUCUUCGAUUUUUUGAGAAAGCAAAUCCUGUUGGGAGUUUGGCUCUCGAGAUUCGGAGAGCGGUGUCUCUUCGAUUUUUGAGAAAGUAAUCAUGUUGGGAGUCUGGCUCUCGAGAUUCGGAGGGCGGUGCCUCUUCGAUUUUGGAGCAAGUAAGCACAGAGGUUGACACACAGGGACUUUCCAAUUAUCCAGCAGUGGUGCUGUUCCUUUACCCUUGUGGGUAAUAAUAUGGUAGCUAGACCUUCAAAAUUUAUGUGUCUAAACUUUGUUAGUGCUGUUUCUUUGCUAUUUUGUUACCCUUCUUGGUCAUAGCGAUGUAGUGGGAACUGCAAGCUUCACAUGUCUAAACUUUGUCAGAGAUCUUUGGCAAAGUUAUCUGUGGUACCCAUGAGCUGAUGGUGCGUGUGGAAAGUGGAUGAUUGAACAAUAAGAUUCACUGCUUUCUACUUCACUAGAAAUCUUCAACAGAAUGCCCGUAAUUUCAGCAAAGCUGAGUGAAAUGCAUGUGACAGGUGCUGACAAGGUUGAAAAAAGCUGGUGCCUCUUCGAUUUAUGAGAUCGGCCCUCGUGGUCUCUGAGCAGCCCAACUUUUGAGAAAGCAAGCGCCUCUUCGAUUUCUAAGAUCGGCCUUCGUGGUCUUUGAGCAGCCCGACUUUUGAGAAAGAAAACUCUCUUCGAUUUCUGAGAUCGGCCCUCGUGGUCUCUGAGCGGCCCAGCUUUUGAGAAAGCAAACGCCUCUUCGAUUUCUGGGCAGACGCCUCUUUCAUUUUUGAAGCUCCGUCGAGUGCAGAUUUUCAUAGAGGUUGGCAUUAAGUUCCAAAGCACACUUGAAUCUCCACUAGUAGAAGCUCCCUUCUUACACUUCUAAGAUCUUGAUUUGUCCAACCUUUUCUCUCUUUAACACCUUUGAAAAUGUCUGGCCCCUCCGACCGUCGUUUUGAUUUGAACCUUGUUGAAGAGGCAGCCACGCCUUCUCCAGAUAACAUAUGGCGCCCAUCCUUCUUAUCCCUUACUGGUCCUCUUACCGUUAGGGAUUCCGUGAUGAAGAAUGAUAUAACCGCUGCGGUGGUGGCCAGGAACCUUUUCACUCCCAAAGAUAACAGACUACUUUCCAAACGGUCUGAUGAGUUGGAUGUUAAGGAUUAUCUGGCUCUGAGUGUUCAAUGUGCAGGUUCUAUGUCUAAUAUGGCCCAAUACCUAUUUGCUCGAACCCGCCAAGUUGAAUCAUUGGCGGCUGAAGUGAUGAGUCUCAAACAGGAGAUUAGAGGGCUCAAGCAUGAGAAUAAACAGUUGCACCGGCUCGCACAUGACUAUGCUAUAAACAUGAAGAGGAAGCUUGACCAAAUGAAGGAAUCUGAUGGUAAGGUUGUACUUGAUCAUCAGCGGUUUGUGGGUUUGUUCCAAAGACAUUUAUUGCCUUCAUCUUCUGGGGCUGUACCGCGAAAUGAAGCUCCGAAUGAUCAACCUCCGAUGCCUCCUCCUUCUAAGGUUCUGUCCAGUACUGAGGCUCCGAAUGAUCCCCCUUCAGUGCCUUCUCUUUCUGGGGCUCUACUGACUGCUGAGACUUCUCUUAAGCAACCUUUGUGAAGGCUCCAUGUUGUUUGUUUAUUUUGACUCAUGUAUAUGUACAUAUUUGUAACUGAUCGGAGAUAUCACUAAAUAAGAUUUGCUUCAUUUCAACGUAUUGUGUUAAAUACACCAAAACCUUCUUCACUGAGUGGGGUCGGCUAUGUGAAUCUUAGAACGCCAUUAUACUCGGUCUUGUGUCAUGUCCUCCGUUAGAUCCAAGUACUCUAAGUCUUUUCUUAGAGUCUCUUCCAAAGUUUUCCCUAAGGUCUUCCUCUACCCAUUCGGCCCUGAACCUCUGUCCCGUAGUUGCAUCUUCUAACCGGAGCGUCAGUAGGCCUUCUUUGCAUAUGUCCAAACCACCGUAACCGAUUUUCUCUCAGCUUUCCUACAAUUUUGGCUACUCCUACAUUACCUCGGAUAUCCUCAUUCCUAAUCUUAUCCUUUCUCGUGUGCCCACACAUCCAACGAAGCAUCCUCAUCUCCGCUACACCCAACACCCAUUUUGUGUACGUGUUGAUGCUUCACCACCCAACAUUCUGUGCCAUACAGCAUCGUCGGCCUUAUUGCCGUCCUAUAAAAUUUUCCCUUGAGCUUUAGUGGCAUACGGCGGUCACACAACACACACGCCGGAUGCACUCUUCCACUUCAUCCAUCCAGCUUGUAUUCUAUGGUUGAGAUCUCCAUCUAAUUCUCCGUUCUUUUGCAAGAUAGAUCCUAAGUAGCGAAAAUGAUCGCUCUUUGGUAUUUCCUGAUCUCCGAUCCUCACCCCUAACUCAUUUUUGGCCUCCAUUUGCACUGAACUUGCACUCCAUAUAUUCUGUCUUUGAUCGGCUUAAGCGAAGACCUUUAGAUUCCAACACUUCUCUCCAAAGGUUAAGCUUCGCAUUUACCCCUUCUUGAGUUUCAUCUAUCAAUACUAUAUUGAUAGACGCAUAUUUAUGCGACUUAGUUAACUAGUUUUCUUGCAUUUACGUUAUUAGUUCUUAGUUAUUUUAGUACUUUAAGCCAUUUUCGUGUGUUUGUAGGUCCAAAGGGCUAAGGUAGCAAGAAAGUGCAUUUUGGUGCAUUUUGAAGCAGUUUUGAGCUUGGAAUGGAUUACAUAUGAUAUGAGCAUGAUGGAUGGAUGAAUUUGAAGACAAAAGAGGCUAAGAACAUGCUAAAAAUCUGGUGAAACAAAUACAAGUUGCAAGAAGGGAUAAAUUUCUAAAAGGAUUGGCCAAAACUUCACUCAAAACACAUCAAUGCCGUGACUUUUACUUCCACCUCCACCAGAAAUUUGAGUAAUGAUGCAAUGCUUAAAUCACCAUGACAUGUGUGAGUGGAUGAUGCAAUGCUUAGCUAACCAUGACAUGUGAGUGGAUGACUCAAAAACCUACCCCAACAACAAUUCCCACUCUUGCCGUGACUUACCUACCCAUUCCACCAGAAAUUUGUGCUUAAACAAGUCCAUCAUCUCCCUAUAAAUACCAUUGCAGCAACCUUAUUUGAAUUCAUCAUCCAGAAAUUAACCAUUCUCCAAGCCUUUCCUUGCCUCUCCUACAUAUCUAAACCCCUUCCCAUCCAUUCCUCCAAAUAACCAACCCUUCAACAUCAUUCCAACCUUGUUGUGGCGGCAAGGAGAAGGAGAAAAGUCCUUGGAUGCGCUUGCUAUCCAACAUGGAUCGUUGGAACGUUUAGGUGCUUUCUUCCCUUUGUUUUUCAAUGGUUAAAUUUGUUUAUCUUUGUUUNNNNNNNNNNNNNNNNNNNNNNNNNNNNNNNNNNNNNNNNNNNNNNNNNNNNNNNNNNNNNNNNNNNNNNNNNNNNNNNNNNNNNNNNNNNNNNNNNNNNNNNNNNNNNNNNNNNNNNNNNNNNNNNNNNNNNNNNNNNNNNNNNNNNNNNNNNNNNNNNNNNNNNNNNNNNNNNNNNNNNNNNNNNNNNNNNNNNNNNNNNNNNNNNNNNNNNNNNNNNNNNNNNNNNNNNNNNNNNNNNNNNNNNNNNNNNNNNNNNNNNNNNNNNNNNNNNNNNNNNNNNNNNNNNNNNNNNNNNNNNNNNNNNNNNNNNNNNNNNNNNNNNNNNNNNNNNNNNNNNNNNNNNNNNNNNNNNNNNNNNNNNNNNNNNNNNNNNNNNNNNNNNNNNNNNNNNNNNNNNNNNNNNNNNNNNNNNNNNNNNNNNNNNNNNNNNNNNNNNNNNNNNNNNNNNNNNNNNNNNNNNNNNNNNNNNNNNNNNNNNNNNNNNNNNNNNNNNNNNNAGCCAGUAACUUCAAAAGACAUCCAAAGCCUUACUGGCAAGGUGGCAGCCUUAACCAGAUUCAUCUCUAAGGCCACAGACAGAUGUGCUCAUUUCUUCAAAGCACUCAAGAGAAAUAAGAAGUACAUUAAUGGACGGAGGAAUAUGCCAAGGCAUUCAGGAACCUCAAAGAGUACAUGAGUAAAGCCCCUCCUGCUCUCCAAACCAGAAGUUGGUGGACACUCUCAUUAUCUAUCUAUCGGUUUUCAGCUUCAGUAAUCAGUUCUGUUCUUAUUCGAAAGGACAGUGGUGUCAAACGGCCCGUCUACUACGCUAGCAAUGCCCUACAAGAUGCGGAGACACGAUAUUCCAACAUUGAGAAAUUAGCUCUAGCAUUGGUCAUGUCUGCUAAAAAACUUCGCCCUUAUUUCUAAGCACACGCCAUCAUCGUGCUUAACAAUCAGCCUCUUUCGACAGAUACUUCAGAGUCCUGACACGUUUGGGCGAAUGAUUAAAUGGGCGAUAGCAUGGGUGAGUUUGACAUCUCCUACCAACCAAAACCAGCCGAAAAUGGGCAAGCAGUAGCAGAUUUCAUCGCCGGACUUCACAUAUCCUGUUCACAUUGCUUCUACACCUGAAGCAGUAGCUUCAUUACCAUCGGAAGCUCAGAAGAUAGAAUCAACAACCUUAACAUGGAGUUUGUAUGUUGAUGGAUCAUCCAACCAAUAGGGAUGCAGCAGCAGAGCAGGAUUAGUCUUCAUUACCCCCGACAAAGUCGCGAUAGAAUACGCUAUUCGUUUCAAAUUCAAGGCAUCGAACAACGAGGCCGAAUACGAAGCCCUUCUAGCAGGCUUACGUUUGGCCAAAGCACCUUGGGGUUAAACAAAUUGAUAUCUUCAGUGACUCCCAAUUAGUGGUCAACCAAGUCACGAACAACUUUGAUGCUAAGGAUAGCUCCAUGGCAGCAUAUCUUGAUCAAACACGACUUUUGCUCAAGCACUUCCACUACCAGAUCACCCAAGUUCCUCGAGCGGCAAACAGUCAUGCAGAUGCUUUGGCUCGCCUCGCCUCGGCAGUGGAAGACAAGAUUGGGAGAAAAAUUCAUGUCGAAUUGUUGGCAGCACCAAGCACCAUGGUCGCGGAGGUGUGCAAUUUACAACAAGGAGAUAGUUGGAUCACCCCAAUUUAUAAAUUCCUUGCCCAUGGCACCCUCCCAAAUGACAAAGUCCAAGCUAAGCAGAUUCGAUACAAGUCUGCUCGCUACCUGAUCAUUUAAUGACCAACUCUACAAGCGCGGUUUUAACCCUACCCUACCUAAGAUGCCUUACACCUGCAGAGGCGGAAAUUGUCCUUCAGGAAAUACAUGAAGGAGUCUGCGGAGAUCAUGCUAGGUCUCGAUCCCUAGCACACAAGACUUUUUCGCCAAGGAUACUAUUGGCCAACACUCCACCAAGAUGCCAUCAGAAUAUCUCGCUCAUGUGAUAAGUGUCAACGCUACGCAACUAUCCCUCACUCCCCUCCCAAGUCGCUCACUCCUAUGAUCAAGCCCUUGGCCCUUGCCCAAUGGGGACUUGAUUUGAUCGGCCAAUGCCUGCAGGGAAGGGCAAGGUCCGCUAUGCAAUCGUUGCAGUUGACUACUUCACAAAGUGGGCUGAAGUAGAACCCUUGGCAACCAUUACUGAGGGAAAAAUAGAAGACUUCGUAUGGAAGAACAUCCUAUGUAGAUUCGGCAUUCCCAAUGCGAUAGUCACGGACAAUGGGCGGCAGUUCGACAACAAGAAGUUCAAGAUGUUCUGCUCUAAGUUCAACAUCAACUUAUGUUUUGCCUUUCCAGCCCAUCCCCAAUCUAAUGGACAAGUCGAGGCCGUCAACAAAAUAAUCAAGCGCACUCUGAAAACUAGCUUGGACAAAGCUAAAGGUUGUUGGCCAGAAAUUCGUACCCCAAGUUCUUUGGUCAUACCGCACUUCAUAUCAGACUUCCACAGGAGAAACUCUAUUCUCACUUGCUUUUGGUACAGAAGCAGUUGUCCCGGUUGAGCUUGAGCAAGCAACAUACCGAAUCCAGAAUUACAUGCAGAGUGAGAACGACAAACAACUCACCCUCAACCUGGAUCUAGUCGAGGAACACAGAAAUCAGGCUUACCUGAGGAAUGUCGCCUACAAGUAGCGCAUUUCCAACUACUACGACUCAAGGGUCAAACCUCGCUCUUUCAAAAUGGGAGACUGGGUACUGAAGAAAAGAUUACUCUGUGAUAGGGUCCCGAGUGAAGGAACACUCAGUCCUAACUGGGACGGACCGUUCGAGGUCAUCGGCAUCAGUCGCCCUGGCUCCUACAAGCUCAGAAACUCCGACGGCAAAACCCUUGGCCAUCUAUGAAAUGCUGACCACUUGAAGUACUAUUACAAAUAGACUCACAUUGUACAAGUGUUAAGCUACAGCCGUUCGACAUCCUAUGUAACAAAGACCAUUUGGUAUGAAUUCAAUAAAAAGGUGAUUUAGCCAACUCGGCCCUAAACUCUUUUACAUUCUGAGCAAUGAAACACUCAAGUGUUGAAGCUUCAACGCAAAUGUUUCCAAUACAAAACAAAAUCUAAGUAUGUGUCAACAAGACUAUACAAAGGAUCUACAUCAUACAUUCCAACACAUUCAUACAUAAACAUCAUACAUUCCAACACAUUCAUACAUAAACAUCAUACAUUCCAAUACAUUCAUACAUAAACAUCAUACAUUCCAACACAUUCAUGCAUAAACAUCAUACAUUCCAACACAUCCAUACAUAAGCCAACUGUGCUUCGAAAGGGUUCAACACACUUUGUGUCAUUCGACAUUUGCCACAAUGUGCCUCGACACCUUGCCCUUAUUCUCACUAACUAGGUGAUGAAGGAACUCACCUUCGUACCACCAACUAGGUGAUGAAAUGUACAACCCGUACUCUAAUAUUUAUUUGGAAACUUGCCACCCUUAUCAACCAAUCAGGUGAAGAAGGAACUCAUCUUCAUGCCACCAACCAGGUGAUGAAAUGUACAACGCGUACUUUCCUUCAUGCCACCAACCAGGUGAUGAAAUGUACAACGCGUACUCUCCUUCAUGUCACUAACCAGGUGAUGAAAUGUGAUGAAAGGUGAUUAAGGAAUUCACAUUCGUACCACCAACCAAGUGAUGAAAGCAACCUACCAUUCAUUCCACUAACCAGAAGACGAGUGGUACAACUUGUACAUGUGAACUCCUAGCAUUCACAAAUAAUCAAAAACCAUCAAGCUUUACAACUCAACUAGGGGAGCACUUAUGCCUAACAAGAGCUAUAGUCACCAACAAAGUCUUAUUGCAAGCCAACAAUGGCUUCAGUGCAUGGUAUACAAAGAUCAAGCUCUUCAGCCCUCUUGCAUCUGCUUCAGACAUUUCUCCUCUGUAACAAUGCAAACACUACAACUCAUAGAAAGCUUCAAACGCUCUUGAUCAAGACUGUUCGAAGCAAAUUCAAUUUAUAUGGUUCAUCCAAACCUUCGACUACUACAAGAUGUGGCUUGAAUCACAAUCUCUCACUUAACAGUAUGGAAGCAAAAUUUGUAUACGUUGUCUCUCCCACAUUUUCAAAUUUCUAGUUUUCCCAAAAAAAAAAAAACAAAAAAAAAAAAAAAAAACAAAAAAAACAAAAAAAAAAAAAAAAAAAAAAAAGGAAAUUGGAAAUUGGGAAAUUCAACAAAGCUUCAUCAAUGGAACACAACUACAAUCCUCAAAAGCUUCGCACUAUCUUCAUCAAGAUAGUGUGAAGCAAAAUCAAUUUAUGGUGCCAACAAAAGCUUCAUCAAUGGAGGACAAAUAUCAAUCUCAAAAGCUUUGCACUAUCUUCAUCAAGAUAGUGUGAAGCAAAAUCAAUUUAUGGUGCCAACAAAAGCUUCAUCAAUGGAGGACAAAUAUCAAUCUCAAAAGCUUUGCACUAUCUUCAUCAAGAUAGUGUGAAGCAAAAUUAAUUUAUGGUGCCAACUAAAGCUUCACCUAUAAAGCUUCAACACCAAAGCUUCACCUAUAAAGCUUCAACCCUUCAACACCAAAGCUUCACCUAUAAAGCUUCAACACCAAAGCUAUAAAGCUUCAACACCAAGCUUCACCUAUCAAGCUUCAACCCCAAAGCUUCACCUACAAUACAAAAUUUCAACACCAAAACAUAUAAAAGCUUCACACACUCUUCAUCAAGAUAAUGUGAAGCAAAAUCAAUUCAUGAUGACCAACAAAGCUUCAACCUCAAAGCUUCACUUACAAAGCUUCAACACCAAAGCUUCACCAACAAAACUUUUAAAUAUAUAUAUAUAUUAUAUAUAUAUAUAAUAUAUUAUUUUUAAUUUUUAUUUUUUUGGAAAUUCGAAAAUUCAAAAAUCCAGAAUUUGAAAAUUCAAAAAAAAAAAAAAAAAAAAAAAAAAAAAUUGCCUAGGCCUCAUCUUCUUUGGGCCUAACAACUUUCAUAACAAAUAUAUAUGAAGAAGGAGUUUUGGGCUACCACUUAGAAAGGAAAUGCCUCAUUCGUCAACUCCCUCGACCGGAGACUUGGGGGACUCCUACCAUAUGCUACUGCACCUUGAUACUCGGAAGUCUCACGACCACUCAGUGACUUGGAUUUUUCAAGUCUCCAAACGAAGAAGUUUUCCUCACUCGGGAAAUUAAGGGAGCACUACCUCAACCUACAUGCUUCACUCACAAAGCUUCAACAUACAAGCUUCAACAAAAGAAAAAAAUUCAAAGAACUUUCUGAAGAAGGCCUUUGGUGUAUUUAACACAAUACGUUGAAAUGAAGCAAAGCUUGUUUAUUGAUAUCUCCGAUAAGUUACAAAUAUGUACAUAUACAUGAAUCAAAAUAAACAAAAAAAAGGGAGCCUUCACAAAGGUUGCUUAGGGGAAGUCUCAGCAGUCGGUAGAGCCCCAGAAAAGAGAAAGGCACCAGAGGGUGGUUAUUCGGAGCCUCAGUACUAGGACAGAACCCCAGAAGGAGGAGGCAUUGGAAGGUUGAUCAUUUGGAGCUUCAUUACGCGGUACAGCCCCAGAAGACGAAGGCAAUAAAUGCCUUUGGAACAAACCCACAAACCUUUUGAUGAUCAAGUAAAACCUGACCAUCAGAUUCCUGCAGCUGGUCAAGCUUUCCUCUUCAUGUUUGUAGCAUAGUCAUGUGCGAGCCUGUGCAACUGUUUAUUCUCAUGCUUGAGCCCUCUAAUCUCCUGUUUGAGACUUAUCACUUCAGCAGCCAAUGAUUCAACUUGGCGGGUUCUAGCAAAUAGGCGUUGGGCCAUAUUAGACACAGAAGCCUGCACACUGAACACUAAGAGCCAGAGAAUCCUUAACAGCCAACUCAUCAGACCGUUUGGAAAGUAGUCUGUUAUCUUUGGGAGUGAGAAGGUUCCUGGCCACCACCGCAGCGGUCAUAUCAUUCUUCAUCACAGAGUCCCCAACGGUAAGAGGACCAGUAGGGAUAUGAAGGAUGGGCGCCAUAUGUUGUCUGGAGAAGGCGUGGCUGCCUCUUCUCCAAGGUUCAAGUCAAAACGACGGUCGAAGGGGCCAGACAUUUUCAAAGGUGUUGAAGAGAGAAGAGGUCAGACAAAUCAAGAUCUUAGAAGUGCAAGAAGGGAGCUUCUAAUGGUGGAGAUUCAGGUGUGUUGUGGAACUUAAUGCCAGCCUCUAUAAAAAUCUGCACUCGACGGAGCUUCAGAAAUCGAAGAGGUGUUUGCUUUCUCAAAAGUUGGGCUGCUCAGAGACCACGAGGGCCGAUCUCAAAAAUCGAAAAGACGUUUCCUUUCUCAAAAGCUGGGCUAUUUAGAGACCAUGAGGGCCGAUCUCAGAAAUCGAAGAAGCACCUGCUUUUUCAGCCUCGUCAGCACCUGUCACAAGCACACUCAGCUUUUCGGAAAUUACGGGCAAUCUGUCGAAGAUUUCUGGUGAAGUAGAAAGCACGUGAAUUUUACUGUUCAAUCACCACUCUCCACACGCACCAUCAACUCCUCGGGUACCACAUAUAACUUUGCCAAAGAUCUCUGACAAAGUUUAAGCACGAGAAUUUCGAAGUUCCAGCUACCUUACUAUUACCCACAAGGGUAAAGGAACAGCACCACUGCUUGAUAACUGGAAAGUCCCUAUGUGUGUCGACCUCCGUGUUCCGUGGCAAUACAGGCUAGCAAGAACGUCCAACCUUUACUCACAUUCGAGAAAAGACUCUCAACAUAAUUACUUUCUAAAAACUGAAGCGGCACUGCUUUCCGAAUCUCGAGAGCCAGAUCCCCGACGGGAUUGCUUGUUCGAAAACCGAAGAGGCACAGCUCUCAGAACUUCGAGAGCCAAAUUUCCUUAGAUAAAGCUUGUAUGUAAUCUUCACACGCAACAUCAGCUUUCUAGAUACCACAUACCACUUUUUCAAAAUGCUCUGACAAAGUUAAAACACGUGAAGCUGGCAGCUCCCACUACAUUGCUGUGACCAAGAAGGGUAAAUGAAUAACAUUACUACUUGUUAUUGGGAAAUCCCUAUAUAUAUUGACCUCCCUCUUCAACAGACAGGCAAACCUGCAAAAAAUGCUCAACCCUUUCUCACAUUCGAGAAUGCACCCUCAACAUAACCUCUCGAAAUACUCAGCUUUAUUUCCCCCGAUAAUACCUCAGCAAAUAAGCCACACCAAGAACAAGAGUAUCUCAUAUCAUCAGGGUCAAAAGCAAGAGUAUCCCAUAUCAUGCUUUCUCCCUGUCCUUGUCUUCGUCCUUGUCCACACCUGCAGGACAAAGAGAAAGAGAACGGUCAGUCGGAACCUGAAAUCAAACCUCCAAUCUGGAACUGACUGCCUGAGACCUUUGCCUGGUUGCUUACUUAGCAUUGCUCUCGAGAACUCAUCCUCAACUGCUAUCAAGGUCAUGAAUUCCACCGGCACAUACCUCAUGACAGUUGAUCAGAUAUUGGCUCUUUACACGGAAGUUGCCAAGCGUGGAUGAGUCACUAUGAAGGAAUGUUCUGAAGGACCAUUUAAAUUCAAAGGUUGCACACCACUUCUGCCAUGCAAAAGAUUGAAGCAGAAGGUUCAACGGUGAGCUGAAACAGAUCACUACAGCAUGACACCUUUCUAUACCACAUUCAUUAUUCCGUCAACAGCAAAAGUAUCCCAUAUCAUCAAGGUCGAACGUACUCUAGAUUUGAUGGACUUGUUUUGACCCUCAAAUUCUUGAGUCAGCCUUAUACUCUGAAGGGAAACCAGAAAACCCUCCAGCACAGUUCAAGAAUAAGCCUGUGGAAAGUUACUUCUUCAAAAGCAAAAGUAUCUCAUAUCAUCUCUUCUCCAUUUGCUUCUCCUUAUCUUGGCAGCUGAAUGAGAGACAAGGAGAAGGAGAAUAAUCAACCGGAAGCCGAAGUCGAACCUCCGAUCUUGGGUUGCUUGCUUGGAAGUUUGACUGCUUACCUUGUCUGUCACCUCUUUUGGCAGAUCUCCUAGCUCGGCGACUUGGGGGACUCCUACUAUAGGGUUUGUAUCACACUUGACCAAGCCCGAAACUACAAGUAAGCUUCAAGUGAAAUUGAUACAUUACCUUGUGCAUCUUUAUUGGUUAAAGAUACCACCAUGGAUGGAGGAAAAGUACUUCCAGAGAAGAUGCCACAUCUACAUAUGAGAGAGAUAAAGCACGUGAAAAUGAUACCACACUUCAGUACUUAGAAGUUUCGUGAUUACUCAAUGGCUUGGAUCUUGCAAGUUCCCAACCGAGGAGCUUCCAUCACUCGGGAACUUAGGGGAGCACUGUUUGUACCAUACUUGACCAAUCCCGAAACUACUGAGCACCGGUCAACGUUAUACUGUCAAGAAGAGCUUCCCUUCAACCAGGAGGCCAAUCACAAGGCGUGCACGACAUGUGUCGACAUCAGAAGCCAAUCACAGCUCGACAUGUGUCAACAUCAGAAGCCAAUCACAACACGACACGUGUCAAUAUUAGAACAAAACUAGAAACUCUUUUCUAUAAAUAGGGAUCAUUCUCCCACAAUAAUCUCUAAUGUCAUUUUGUACUAAACUAUUCAUUAGAACUCACAAAAUGAGAGCUUGAACCUAUGUAUUUGUGUAAACCAUUCACAAUUAAUGAGAACUCCUCUACUCCGUGGACGUAGCCGAUCUAGGUGAACCACGUACAUCUUGUGUUUGCUUCCCUGUCCCUAUUCAUUUACGUACUUAUCUUCACUAGUGAUCGAAGCAACCAAGCGAAGGUCACAAACCUGACACUUUCUGUUGUACCAAAGUCCUCGCUGAUUUUGUGCAUCAACAAAACCAAUAUGCAAUUCAAUAAUUUUGAUGUUCUUUGUGUUCCUUAUUCUCUUAUUUUGGAUGUCUAUAGCUGUGUUGAAUUACGAGGAAGAUAUAGCCAUCUACACAAUAAAAGCAGCAUCAGAUACAAGGGCAGCCAAUCACGUCCUCACUUGUAAACCGCAACGAGACAUUAUAUCUCAGUUGGACUUGAAACUUACUUGUAGUUUCAGGCUUGGUCAAGCGCGAUACAAACCAUGUAGUAGGAGUCCCCCAAGUCGUCGAGCUAGGGGAUCUGCUGAAAGAGGUGACAGACAAGGUAAGCAAUCAGUCCCAGAUCAGAAGUUUGAUUUCGAGUUCCGGCUGAUUGUUCUCAUUCUCCUUAUCUUGCAGGCAGCAUGAAGGAUAAAGAGAAGAAAAAGGAGAAUAGAUGAUAUGAGAUACUUUUGCUUUUGAAGAAGUAACUUUUCACAGACUUAUUCUUGAACUGGGCUGGAAGGUUUUCUGGUUUCCUCCAGAGUAUAAGGCCGACUGAAGAAUUUGAGGGUCAAAACAAGUCCAUCAAAUCUAGAGUACGUUCGACCCUGCUGAUAUGGGAUACUUUUGCUGUUGACAAAGUAGUGGAUGUAUCGACACGUGUUCUGUUACGCUUGUCUCCACAUGCUUCCUUGUAUCAUUCUCACUUUCCCUAUCUGUUCCUCAGGCAGAUGUGGUAACUUCUCUGGAAGCAUAAGAUGUUGAAGAUGAGUACUCGAGAGCAAUGCCAGGUAAGUAAUCAGGUAAGGGGUUCCAGGCAAUCAGUUCCUGACUGGAAGCUUGAUUCCAAUGGCUGACUGAUUGCUCUCUUUCUCCUUGUCUUGCAGGUAAGAACAAGGCCAAAUGAAAAGACAGGGAAAAAGCAUGAUAUGGGAUACUUUUGCUUUUAACCAUGAUGAUAUGAGAUAUUCUUGCUCUGGUGUAGCUUGUUUGCAGAGGUAUUACCGGGGGGGGGGAAAGAAAGCUGAGCAUUUCGAGAGGCUUCGUUGGGAGUGCCCUCGCAGAUAUAAGGAAGGGUUGAACAUUUUUGCAGGUUUGCAUGUCCGUUGAGGAUGGAGGUCGACAUAUAUAGGAGUCUCCCUAACAACAAGUAGUAAUGCUAUUCCUUUACCCUGCUUGGUCAUAGCACGGUAGUGGGAGCUGCCAGCUUCACGUGUGUCUGAGCACUUUGAAAAAGUGGUCUGUGGUAUCUGGAUAGCUGAUGUUGCGUGUGAAGAUUACAGACAAGUUUUAUCCAAGGAGAUUUGGUUCUCGAAGUUGAGAAAGCGGUGCAUCUUCGAUUUUCGAACAAGCAAUCCUAUCGGGGAUCUGGCUCUCGAGAUUCGGAGAACGGUGCCUCUUCGAUUUUUGAGAAAGCAAUCCUGUUGGGAGUUUGGCUCUCGAGAUUCGGAGAGCGGUGUCUCUUCGAUUUUUGAGAAAGUAAUCAUGUUGGGAGUCUGGCUCUCGAGAUUCGGAGGGCGGUGCCUCUUCGAUUUUGGAGCAAGUAAGCACAGAGGUUGACACACAGGGACUUUCCAAUUAUCCAGCAGUGGUGCUGUUCCUUUACCCUUGUGGGUAAUAAUAUGGUAGCUAGACCUUCAAAAUUUAUGUGUCUAAACUUUGUUAGUGCUGUUUCUUUGCUAUUUUGUUACCCUUCUUGGUCAUAGCGAUGUAGUGGGAACUGCAAGCUUCACAUGUCUAAACUUUGUCAGAGAUCUUUGGCAAAGUUAUCUGUGGUACCCAUGAGCUGAUGGUGCGUGUGGAAAGUGGAUGAUUGAACAAUAAGAUUCACUGCUUUCUACUUCACUAGAAAUCUUCAACAGAAUGCCCGUAAUUUCAGCAAAGCUGAGUGAAAUGCAUGUGACAGGUGCUGACAAGGUUGAAAAAAGCUGGUGCCUCUUCGAUUUAUGAGAUCGGCCCUCGUGGUCUCUGAGCAGCCCAACUUUUGAGAAAGCAAGCGCCUCUUCGAUUUCUAAGAUCGGCCUUCGUGGUCUUUGAGCAGCCCGACUUUUGAGAAAGAAAACUCUCUUCGAUUUCUGAGAUCGGCCCUCGUGGUCUCUGAGCGGCCCAGCUUUUGAGAAAGCAAACGCCUCUUCGAUUUCUGGGCAGACGCCUCUUUCAUUUUUGAAGCUCCGUCGAGUGCAGAUUUUUCAUAGAGGUUGGCAUUAAGUUCCAAAGCACACUUGAAUCUCCACUAGUAGAAGCUCCCUUCUUACACUUCUAAGAUCUUGAUUUGUCCAACCUUUUCUCUCUUUAACACCUUUGAAAUGUCUGGCCCCUCCGACCGUCGUUUUGAUUUGAACCUUGUUGAAGAGGCAGCCACGCCUUCUCCAGAUAACAUAUGGCGCCCAUCCUUCUUAUCCCUUACUGGUCCUCUUACCGUUAGGGAUUCCGUGAUGAAGAAUGAUAUAACCGCUGCGGUGGUGGCCAGGAACCUUUUCACUCCCAAAGAUAACAGACUACUUUCCAAACGGUCUGAUGAGUUGGAUGUUAAGGAUUAUCUGGCUCUGAGUGUUCAAUGUGCAGGUUCUAUGUCUAAUAUGGCCCAAUACCUAUUUGCUCGAACCCGCCAAGUUGAAUCAUUGGCGGCUGAAGUGAUGAGUCUCAAACAGGAGAUUAGAGGGCUCAAGCAUGAGAAUAAACAGUUGCACCCGGCUCGCACAUGACUAUGCUAUAAACAUGAAGAGGAAGCUUGACCAAAUGAAGGAAUCUGAUGGUAAGGUUGUACUUGAUCAUCAGCGGUUUGUGGGUUUGUUCCAAAGACAUUUAUUGCCUUCAUCUUCUGGGGCUGUACCGCGAAAUGAAGCUCCGAAAUGAUCAACCUCCGAUGCCUCCUCCUUCUAAGGUUCUGUCCAGUACUGAGGCUCCGAAUGAUCCCCCCUUCAGUGCCUUCUCUUUCUGGGGCUCUACUGACUGCUGAGACUUCUCUUAAGCAACCUUUGUGAAGGCUCCAUGUUGUUUGUUUAUUUUGACUCAUGUAUAUGUACAUAUUUGUAACUGAUCGGAGAUAUCACUAAAUAAGAUUUGCUUCAUUUCAACGUAUUGUGUUAAAUACACCAAAACCUUCUUCACUGAGUGGGGUCGGCUAUGUGAAUCUUAGAACGCCAUUAUACUCGGUCUUGUGUCAUGUCCUCCGUUAGAUCCAAGUACUCUAAGUCUUUUCUUAGAGUCUCUUCCAAAGUUUUCCUAGGUCUUCCUCUACCCAUUCGGCCCUGAACCUCUGUCCCGUAGUUGCAUCUUCUAACCGGAGCGUCAGUAGGCCUUCUUUGCAUAUGUCCAAACCACCGUAACCGAUUUUCUCUCAGCUUUCCUACAAUUUUGGCUACUCCUACAUUACCUCGGAUAUCCUCAUUCCUAAUCUUAUCCUUUCUCGUGUGCCCACACAUCCAACGAAGCAUCCUCAUCUCCGCUACACCCAUUUUGUGUACGUGUUGAUGCUUCACCACCCAACAUUCUGUGCCAUACAGCAUCGUCGGCCUUAUUGCCGUCCUAUAAAAUUUUCCCUUGAGCUUUAGUGGCAUACGGCGGUCACACAACACGCCGGAUGCACUCUUCCACUUCAUCCAUCCAGCUUGUAUUCUAUGGUUGAGAUCUCCAUCUAAUUCUCCGUUCUUUUGCAAGAUAGAUCCUAAGUAGCGAAAAUGAUCGCUCUUUGGUAUUUCCUGAUCUCCGAUCCUCACCCCUAACUCAUUUUGGCCUCCAUUUGCACUGAACUUGCACUCCAUAUAUUCUGUCUUUGAUCGGCUUAAGCGAAGACCUUUAGAUUCCAACACUUCUCUCCAAAGGUUAAGCUUCGCAUUUACCCCUUCUUGAGUUUCAUCUAUCAAUACUAUAUUGAUAGACGCAUAUUUAUGCGACUUAGUUAACUAGUUUUCUUGCAUUUACGUUAUUAGUUCUUAGUUAUUUUAGUACUUUAAGCCAUUUUCGUGUGUUUGUAGGUCCAAAGGGCUAAGGUAGCAAGAAAGUGCAUUUUGGUGCAUUUUGAAGCAGUUUUGAGCUUGGAAUGGAUUACAUAUGAUAUGAGCAUGAUGGAUGGAUGAAUUUGAAGACAAAAGAGGCUAAGAACAUGCUAAAAAUCUGGUGAAACAAAUACAAGUUGCAAGAAGGGAUAAAUUUCUAAAAGGAUUGGCCAAAACUUCACUCAAAACACAUCAAUGCCGUGACUUUUACUUCCACCUCCACCAGAAAUUUGAGUAAUGAUGCAAUGCUUAAAUCACCAUGACAUGUGAGUGGAUGAUGCAAUGCUUAGCUAACCAUGACAUGUGAGUGGAUGACUCAAAACCUACCCCAACAACAAUUCCCACUCUUGCCGUGACUUACCUACCCAUUCCACCAGAAAUUUGUGCUUAAACAAGUCCAUCAUCUCCCUAUAAAUACCAUGCAGCAACCUUAUUGAAUUCAUCCAGAAAUUAACCAUUCUCCAAGCCUUUCCUUGCCUCUCCUACAUAUCUAAACCCCUUCCCAUCCAUUCCUCCAAAUAACCAACCCUUCAACAUCAUUCCAACCUUGUUGUGGCGGCAAGGAGAAGGAGAAAAGUCCUUGGAUGCGCUUGCUAUCCAACAUGGAUCGUUGGAACGUUUAGGUGCUUUCUUCCCUUUGUUUUUCAAUGGUUAAAUUUGUUUAUCUUUGUUUUGUAAUAAUGAGGAACUAAACCCCCCUUGGCUAGGGGGGGAUUCAAAAACCAUGUUUAUGCUUGCUAUAUGAUUUGAUUACUUCCAAUUGCGUUUCUUGAAUUGUGAAUUCAAUUUACUUAUCCGUUCGUAUAAAAAACUAAUUUGUGUAUGUUGGUUGAGAGUGCACGCUUAAUUUUCAUGCAUGAAUUUGACGCUAGAAUAUAAGGGAGUUUCACCUAAUCGUUAUGAACUUAUAUUCACAAUUAGUGAAGGUUGCUAGUCACAAUCACGUUAAGUAAAUUCUUGGCAUAAGUUUCAUGCAAAUCAUAGUAACGAGUGCCUCGUCAAUGCUUAUGUUUUUCAUAGAACUUAAUGAUUCUUGCUUGUAUCUCUAUUAUGCAAUUCAUGUAGGGAACUUGUAGGGAAUGUUUUGGGUUGUCGUAUGCAAUCAUCCAAUCUAAUAACUUGUUGAAAAACUGAGAGUUAAUUAGUGCAAUUCACGGUUAAUUUGGGGCGUUGAGUAUUCAUAACUUAUCGAAGGGCAAUUGGAAAUCAUUUUGUAUGCAAGCAAGACAUGUGUGGAGAAGAACCCCUUAGCUAGCCUUCCAUUAUCCAUUCAACCCAAAUUUGUUUAAAAUCUAUUUAAGUUUUUAGUUUAUUCGUUUUUACUUUCAACUUCACCAAACUCAAAUCCCCAUUUUACUUUCUUGUUUUAAAAUCUUUUGUUUACAUUUUUAACUUUGUUUAUUUUUGUUUUUGAGUCAGUUUAGAGGUUUUAGCAAGCCCUCAUAAUCCCCGGUUUAGAACGAUCCCUACUUACAUACUUUGCUACAAUUGUCAAAAAGAGGGUUUAAUUUGAGUGUGCUUAUAAUUCUCGCUUCAUAUAUCAUCUGCGAAAAGCAUACACCAAGGAAUAUCAUCUUGAAUAUGUCAUGUUAACUCAUCCAUUACCAACAUAAAAAAGUAAGGACUUAAGGAUGAGCCUUGAUGUAAUCCUACAGUUAUGGGGAAGCUUUGGGUUUGUCUUUCAUGAGUUCUUAUGGCAGUCUUUGCUCCUUCAUACAUAUCCUUUAUAGCUUGGAUAUAUCCUACUCGUACUCAUUUCUUCUCUAAAACCCUCCAAAGAAUGUUUCUUGGGACCCUAUCAUACGCUUUUUCCAAAUCUAUAAAGACCAUGUGUAAAUCCUUUUUCCUAUCUCUAUAUCUUUCCAUCAAUCUUUGUAAGAGAUAGAUUGCCUCCAUGGUUGAGCGCCCUGGCAUGAACCCGAAUUGGUUGUCCGAAACCCGUGUCUCUUGCCUCAAUCUAUGCUCAAUGAUUCUCUCCCAGAGCUUCAUUGUAUGACUCAUUAGCUUAAUACCCAUAUAGUUCAUGCAAUUUUGUACGUCGCCCUUAUUCUUGUAGAUAGGCACCAAAGUGCUCUUUCGCCACUCAUUUGGCAUCUUCUUCGUUUUCAAAAUCCUAUUGAAAAGGUCAGUGAGCCAUGCUAUACCUGUCUCUCCCAAAACGUUCCAUACUUCGAUCGGUAUAUCGUCUGGGCCCACUGUUUUUCUAUACGUUAUCUUCUUCAAAGCUAUAACCACUUCUUCCUUCCUAAUUCGACGAUAAAAUGAGUAGUUUCUACACUCUUUUGAGUUACUCAACUCCCCUAAAGAAAUACUUCUUUCAUGUCCUUCAUUGAAAAGAUUAUGAAAAUAACCUUUCCAUCUGUCUUUGACCGCAUUCUUGUAGCAAGAACCUUUCCAUCCUCAUCCUUGAUUCACCUCACUUGGUUUAGGUCACUUGUCUUCUUUUCCCUUGCUCUAGCUAGUUUAUAGAUAUCCAACUCUCCUUCUUUGGUAUCUAGUCACUUAUACAUAUCGUCAUAAGCCGCUAACUUAGCUUCUCUCACAGCUUUCUUUGCCUUUUGCUUCGCUCUUCUAUACCUUUCACCAUUGUCAUCGGUCCUGUCCUUGUAUAAGGCUUUACAACAUUCCUUCUUAGCCUUCACCUUUGUUUGUACCUCCUCAUUCCACCACUAAGAUUCCUUUUGGUGUGGAGCAAAGCCCUUGGACUCUCCUAAUACCUCUUUUGCUACUUUUCGGAUACAACUAGCCAUGGAAUCCCACCUUUGGCUAGCUUCCCCCUCUCUAUCCCACACACACUGGGUAAUUACUUUCUCUUUGAAAAUGGCUUGUUUUUCUCCUUUUAGAUUCCACCAUCUAGUCCUUGGGCAUUUCCAAGUCUUGUUCUUUUUUCUCACUCUUUUGAUAUGUACAUCCAUCACUAACAAGCGAUGUUGAUUAGCCAAGCUCUCUCCCGGUAUAACUUUGCAAUCCUUACAAGUUAUACGAUUCCCUUUCCCCAUUAAAAGAAACUCUAUUUGUGUUUUUGACGACCCACUCUUGUAGGUGAUCACAUGUUCUUCUCUCUUCUUAAAGAAUGUGCUGGCUAAGAAGAGAUCAUACGCCAUUGCAAAAUCCAAGAUAGCUUCCCCAUCCUCGUUUCUCUCCCCAAAACCAUGGUCACCAUGAAAACCUCCAUAGUUGCCUGUCUCCCUGCCCACGUGUCCAUUUAAAUCUCCUCCUAUAAAUAACUUCUCCGUCUGGGCGAUUUCUUGCACCAAGUCUCCAAGGUCUUCCCAAAAUUUCUCAUUCGAACUCGUAUCCAACCCUACUUGAGGUGCGUACGCACUAAUCACAUUGAUGAGUUCUUGUCCAAUUACAAUAUUGAUUGCCAUGAUUCUAUCUCCUACCCUCUUGACAUCUACAACAUCUUGUGUCAAGGUCUUGUCCACGAUGAUACAAACCCCGUUUCUCGUUCUAUUUGUGCCCGAAUACCAAAGUUUAAACCCUGAGUUUUCUAGAUCCUUUGCCUUAAUACCAACCCACUUAGUUUCUUGUAGGCACAUAAUAUUUAUCAUUCUCCUUACCAUAACUUCCACUACUUCCAUAGAUUUUCCCGUUCAGGUUCCUAUAUACCCAUAUAGUUCAUGCAAUUUUGUACGUCGCCCUUAUUCUUGUAGAUAGGCACCAAAGUGCUCUUUUGCCACUCAUUUGGCAUCUUCUUCGUUUUCAAAAUCCUAUUGAAAAGGUCAGUGAGCCAUGCUAUACUUGUCUCUCCCAAAACUUUCCACACUUCGAUCGGUAUAUCGUCUGAGCCCACUGCUUUUCUAUGCGUUAUCUUCUUCAAAGCUAUAACCACUUCUUCCUUCCUGAUUCGACGAUAAAAGGAGUAGUUUCUACACUCUUCUGAGUUACUCAACUCCCCUAAAGAAGUACUUCUUUCAUGUCCUUCAUUGAAAAGAUUAUGAAAAUAACCUUUCCAUCUGUCUUUGACCGCAUUCUUGUAGCAAGAACCUUUCCAUCAUCAUCCUUGAUUCACCUCACUUGGUUUAGGUCACUUGUCUUCUUUUCCCUUGCUCUAGCUAGUUUAUAGAUAUCCAACUCUCCUUCUUUGGUAUCUAGUCGCUUAUACAUAUCGUCAUAAGCCGCUAACUUAGCUUCUCUCACAGCUUUCUUUGCCUUUUGCUUCGCUCUUCUAUACCUUUCACCAUUUUCAUCGGUCCUGUCCUUGUAUAAGGCUUUACAACAUUCCUUCUUAGCCUUCACCUUUGUUUGUACCUCCUCAUUCCACCACUAAGAUUCCUUUUGGUGUGGAGCAAAGCCCUUGGACUCUCCUAAUACCUCUUUUGCUACUUUUCGGAUACAACUAGCCAUGGAAUCCCACCUUUGGCUAGCUUCCCCCUCUCUAUCCCACACACACUGGGUAAUUACUUUCUCUUUGAAAAUGGCUUGUUUUUCUCCUUUUAGAUUCCACCAUCUAGUCCUUGGGCAUUUCCAAGUCUUGUUCUUUUUUCUCACUCUUUUGAUAUGUACAUCCAUCACUAACAAGCGAUGUUGAUUAGCCAAGCUUUCUCCCGGUAUAACUUUGCAAUCCUUACAAGUUAUACGAUCCCCUUUCCCCAUUAAAAGAAAAUCUAUUUGUGUUUUUGACGACCCACUCUUGUAGGUGAUCACAUGUUCUUCUCUCUUCUUAAAGAAUGUGUUGGCUAAGAAGAGAUCAUAUGCCAUUGCAAAAUCCAAGAUAGCUUCCCCAUCCUCGUUUCUCUCCCCAAAACCAUGGUCACCAUGAAAACCUCCAUAGUUGCCUGUCUCCCUGCCAACGUGUCCAUUUAAAUCUCCUCCUAUAAAUAACUUCUUCGUCUGGGCAAUUCCUUGCACCAAGUCUCCAAGGUCUUCCCAAAAUUUCUCCUUCGAACUCGUAUCCAACCCUACUUGACGUGCGUACGCACUAAUCACAUUGAUGAGUUCUUGUCCUAUUACAAUCUUGAUUGCCAUGAUUCUAUCUCCUACCCUCUUGACAUCUACAACAUCUUGUGUCAAGGUCUUGUCCACGAUGAUGCCAACACCGUUUCUCGUUCUAUUUGUGCCCGAAUACCAAAGUUUAAACCCUGAGUUUUCUAGAUCCUUUGCCUUAAUACCAACACACUUAGUUUCUUGUAGGCACAUAAUAUUUAUCAUUCUCCUCACCAUAACUUCCACUACUUCCAUAGAUUUUCCCGUUAAGGUUCCUAUAUUCCACGUUCCUAAACGCAUUUUACUAUCUUGAACUCUACCCUUAUGUCCUAGCUUCUUCACCCUCCCCCGUCCAAUAGGAUCAAAGUACUUCUUUUGUGUGUCAUGUGUAAAGUUGAUAGGAGCAUAUGCUUCCAAACAACUUUGAGUGGAGUCGUUCGAAAAGAAGUUUCUAUGGCCCCCUUGCUCAUUUAACACUGCAUCCAGGUGCCGAUGGAGAUACAGUGACCCUUGCUUACUUAUCACUGUGCUCAGGCCACACAGCGCGCCACUUACGGGUGACGCCCUAGCUUUAGCGCGAUUUCGUUCUGGAUUCAUUUUCAUAAGGAUUCGAUUACAACCUCCAUUCAUUUCACCUACAUCAUACACUUACCUCACCUACAAUAUCCACCCAAUUCACCUACAACAAUCCACUCAAUCCACUUACAACAUCCACCAAAACAAAAGGAUGAUGGUAAUUCAUUCUCAAAGCCUAUAAAUAGGCCUCCCCAUCAAAGGAUCAAGGGAGGAUUUUGCAUACAUUUUCUCUACUCCCAAAUUGGAAGAGAAUUCACAUCACACCAAAGCCUUGAAGCGUCGAAACUAUAAAGCUUUCAAGCAAAUCCCGAAAAAUCAAGAAAGCUCUCUUUGUUCUUUGUCAAAAUCCUCCUUCAAGAUCAAGCCCCAACGGCCCUUGAAGAAACUUCCACUAAUUCAAGAUCAAGCCCCGACGGCCUUUGAAGAAAGUGUUCAUCAUUCAUCAUCCGUUCAUCCUAAAGAUCAAGCCCCGACGGCCCUUUGGAUCAAUAACAUCAACAAAUCUACCCAUUACAAAGAUAGAAUUAGAGGAUCAAAUUGCAAAAGAGAUUGUAACCCAAAAAAUUAAUACAAAAUAUUAUUUUGUACACGUGAUCUUGUCUCGUUCAUCGCAGGGAUUCUCGUGUUUACAAAUUUGGCACGCCCGGUAGGACCUUUCUCUACCUCUCAUCUCUAUCUUUGAAUCCGCAAAAAGCAUAAAUGGCAUCAAAGAAGGCUCAAGUUGUUCUCGCAACCAAUGCAAGGAACAAGAGUGUCAUCACCGCAGGUGGUAUCACUUCGGGCGUCACGACACGAAGCAAGGUAAGAGCUCUUUCUGCCACAUCUUCUACCCCUGCAUCAACUCCGCCGAAGGAACAAGAGCACCUGAGGCACGAACCUGUGAUCACCCUGGCCUCGCUAAGGGCGCUAAGAGAGGAAAGCCCAAGAAAGUACUCUGGUUCCAUGCUUUCCGAUACCGACUCAAGCAGCAGCUCAGCCAUGCAAGUCAUGACCACGGAAGCGACUUCAAUCGAUGAGUAGCUGACUCAUAUGAAUGAAGCGAUAACAAGGCUAACACGAAUUGUGGAAGAAAAAGACUCACAAAUCGCUGCACUCGUUAACCAAUUAGAGACGCAGCAAGACGAGAAACCUGACCUAAAGGGUAAUCCACUAAAGAGAGAAGCUGGCGAAGAAGAUGAGCCUCAGGUGGAGAAAAUCGAUGUAAAGUCGGAGCCAGACCGAGCAGCGGCACUCAUGGGAUCUCUCUCUAUUCAGCAGCUGUAGGAAAUGAUCGCCAGUACCAUCAAGGCACAGUACGAAGGAAGCUUACAUGACUCCGUACUAUACUCAAAACCCUACUCCAAGAAAAUUAAAGCUUUGAAGAUGCUGAGGGAUUAUCAGCCACCAAAGUUCAUGCAGUUCGAUGGAAAGGGAAACCCGAGCAACAUGUCGCCCAUUUCAUUGAAACCUGCAACAAUGCUGGAACAGAGGGAGACUACCUCGUCAAGCAGUUCGUGCGCUCGCUGAAAGGCAACGCUUUUGACUGGUAUACCGACCUCGAGCCCGAAUCUGUCAAUAGUUGGGAUCAGCUAGAGAGGGAGUUCCUUAACCGCUUCUACAGCACCCGCCGCACUGUAAGCAUGCUGAAGCUGACCAGUAUGAAACAAUGGAAGGAUGAACCUGUCAUUGACUACAUCAAUAGAUGGCGUUCAUUAAGUCUGGAUUGCAAAGAUCGUCUUUCUGAAACCUCCGCCAUUGAGAUGUGCAUUUAAGGCAUGCACUGGAGGUUACAUUACAUCCUUCAAGGCAUAAAACCAAGAACGUUCGAGAAGGAUAAGGUGUUCUUCCCGAAUGGCAACUCGUUCCGACGACAUAGAGCUAAGUAUUGCCAAUCACAGAAAGAAAGAGUCGAUCACUGAUUUCAAGAAGGAUAAGGUGUUCUUCCCGAAUGUAGACAAAACUAGUAAGAAGCCCCUCAAGUAAGCGUUCACCGUCAACACUGCGCCCAUCAAGACCUCCUCCGCGCCUAUCAAGAUCUCUUCCAAAACCAAAACAAAGGAGAUAAAGAGAGGUGAGCCUCCUCGCACCCAAGACAGGUACAAAAACACUUUGAGAGAAUUAGAGCAGAAGGUGUACCUUUUUCCUGACUUAGACAUGGAUGCAAUGUUAGACGACUUGCUAGAAAAGAAGCUAAUCGAGCUACCCGAAUGCAAGCGGCCUGAAGAAAUGAAUCGCGUAAACGAUCUUAAAUACUGCACGUACCAUCGAAUCAUGAGCCAUCCUGUUGGUAAGUGCUUCGUCCUCAAAGAGCUCAUCAUGAAUCUAGCACAACAAGGGCGAAUUAAGCUCGACCUAGAAGACACGGCCACAACAUAUACUACUACAAUUGCAUUUGGAUCCUUUGAUCCCGUGCAUUUCCAAGCGACACUUGACCAUUCUUAUCAAUACUCAAGUUGCACAAUACCUUCUGCACAACCAUCGCCGGGGGCAAACGACCAGAAUGCACUUACCGAUGAUGAAGAAGGGUGGACGUUGGUGACCUAUAAGAAGACGAGGAAGCCAAUACCAUAAGCUAUAAGGCCAAAUGGGGAACAAGUGAGAAAGCACCGUCGCCGCAACAGUAGGAAGCCUAAAAGAAACGUAAAAGUUACUAAGCCAACGUAUGCUGGGGAACCUAUGGAGCAAGAGCCAUGCAUUCUUGUCUCCUUGCGCAAGUACUUCCCGAAUGACUUAUUCCAACAGUGCACUAUCGCUGCAUGUCACAUGAUCGAAGUAGAAAUGGAAGAACCUUUAAAAGGCAAAGCCGUCGCCAUUGAGGGAGAAAUUGCCCUCAUACCUAAAGAAGGCCUACCGAUACACUUUAGCAUCGAGGAAGCGCUAUGAUUGACAAAGAAGGUACGAAGAGCACUGGCAGCGGUCUUGGUAAUUCUCGACGACCAUGAAGUGCAAGAAAGCAAGAACGAAGGCUUAAAGCUUCGGCCACAUGAAUGUGCCACAUGCUGUGUUGCCGAUGACACAAUCCACUUCACCGACGAAGACUUGCUGCUAGGAUCCAAGCCUUACAACCGUUCUUUUUUUGUCUCUGGGUAUGUAAGGGAGCACAAAAUCAACCGUAUGCUUGUGGAUGGUAGAUCAGCCAUAAACAUCAUGCCAAAGUCAACAAUGACUACAAUCGGCAUUAAGGCGGGUGAACUAUCCCUAAGUCGUCUACUAAUCCAAGGUUUUAAUCAAGGAGGACAAAUAGCGAUGGGCAUGAUCCAAGUGGAGAUGACUAUUGGCGAACUAAGUCAAGCACGAUAUUCCACGUGAUUGAUGCAAGAACUUCCUACGACUUGCUCUUAGGAAAGCCUUAGAUCCAUACGAAUGAAGUAGUAUCGUCCACCAUUCACCAAUGCUUAAAAUUUUACCGAGAAGGAGUGAAGGUGAUUUAUGGUGACACCAAACCAUUCACUGAAGUCGAAUCACAUUUCGCAGACGCCAAGUUCUACAUGGAUGAAGAUAUGGUGCCCGAAGCUCUUCCAAAAGAGAUUAAAUCCACGGGCAAAGCAACACCUAAAAAGCAGGAGAAGCAAGAAGGAGAAGUCGUGCCAUCUUCAAGUAAAAACUAUGACGAGCCUACUAAACCUACAACAACCAAAGGGAGUAGAACGCCCUCAAAUGGACCAAACACACCCGUUUUUCGAUACAUCACGAUGUCGAGAAGAAAGAAUGGUCAAUCUCCGUUCGAAACUGGAGCAAGCAAAGUCGAUGCACAGCUAUAGGGAUAAUGUAAAGUUGCUCAAGACGAAUGCAUUUUUGCCUCUGACACAGCUAGGCGACGCUAAGGUUGCAAGAUUACCACAAGGCUUCAUAAAAGCUCUACCAAAGGGGGUGGAACCAAGUUUUCUCCCAACCAAGAGGACCGAAGAAGGUUUUGAUCCAAACACUUACAAACUCAUGUCGAAAGUUGGGUACAACUUCGCUUCUUAUUCGAAUCCUGGAAAGAAGGUUUUAAACACCGUCAACAAUAAAGAAAAUGACCUCACCGAGACUCAAAAUAAGUUGAAAAAGCAUGGUUACGGAGUUAACAACAACAAAGCUGGACUUGGCUUCACACCAAAUGCACCCGUGAAGAUUUCAAACAAAGCGAAAAAUGCUAGCACUUAACACAUCAACGUGAGCAUUUAACAAGAUCAAGAGGAGCCUAAAUCCGCCCUUCGGACGUCAAUAUUCGAUAGGAUGCAUCGUUCAAGACCCAGAACUUCAACACUUAAUCGCAUUGGUGGUCAAAAUCAAACCUCCGUCUUCAAGAGGCUUAACAGGCUAACAUCCUGAAGCUCUGUUUUUGAAAGGUUGUCAAAACCUAAGAAGCAAAGCAACAUGGCUAGCUCUCUUCCUCGUCGGUCAGCUUUGGAAAGACUUGAAGACAACAGGAAGUUUUCUAGAAAUAGGGAGACAACGUCAAAGGAAGACAAGCUCGACAGGCUAGCAGAAAAGGCGAUAUUCAAAGCUCAAUUCCUUCAAGGAUGAAGCACCAAGCAACUUUGGAGGUUGACACAAAUGGACCACUGAAAGUAAGAAGGCGCACCAUCAUCCACACCGGCCAAUCUUCACGCCAACAAAUCUAAAAAGACAAAUAAUAUGAAAUCCCUAAGGAAGACUUCACUUUUGGCUUUUUCGACUCAAAGUCUUCACCUCGAUCGUUGGGGGCAUACUCCAAGUCAAGUGAACUUGAAGGAUGGAGUUAUGUCACUCCCAAGAAACUGCACGAGAAGUAUACGUUUUCUUCACAAGUGCACCAAUCGGAAAGGGGGUAAAGCAGCUUUCGCCAACCUCCAAAGCAAUGUGAAAGUGUUGAGGAUAAGGAAAUUUUGGCACAAAGAUCGUUCAUGCACGAUCUCUUCUUCCUCGAAGAUUUAUUCAAAUACUCGACCAAGGUUCCUUGCUAUGAAGAUUACGAGGAGAGCCUCUCCAAGAUCGCUUCGAAGAAAUUGGACAAGCAGCAACCAUCUCGUUCACAAGUUCAUCAGUCGAAAAGGAGGCAAAACAGUUCUUGUCAACCUCUAGAACAAUGUGAAAGUGUUGGAGAUAAUGAAAUUUCGACACAAAGAUCGUCCACCCCCAUCAUAAUGCUUGAUUUCUUUCCAUAAGACUUCUUCAAUUACUCAGUCAAGGCUCCUUGUUAUGAGGAUUGUGAGGAACGCCUCUCCCAAGUCGCUUGACAAAUCCACAACAACCAAAUGCUCCUUGUUCGCACGAGCCUAAGCUGCACGAACCAAACCUUCUGGCCCGCAAGAGCAUAAACUAUGUACGGAAAAACCAUCAUCAAAAUCACCAUUAAAACCAUAAAAAAAGAAGUAUCUGAACUAUGUUGUGACUUGAUCUCUUCCUUGGAAGAGUAUGGAGGCAACUUGAAACUUCAAAACUUCAAGUACAGUCAUAUCAUCAACAAAAACACAAAAACUUUGAAGAAUAAAAACAAAAAUUCAAAAUAUGAAUACUUUAUUUGUUUAAAGGAAUGAUUUGGUUACAAAGCCGUAUUACAAGGGUGAGCAUUACGCCAACAUCACCACUAAGGAAAGUUAUGACCAAAAGGCACUAUACAGCAUAAACUCGUUGCAGUCUUUUGCACAACCCCACAAGGUAAAGGUGACACAUUGGAACAAGCUCCAAGCAGCAGCGGCAAAAAGCCCAUGGCAAGCAGCAAGGUCAAUGUGCACGACAACGUCCCCACCGAGGAAAGUUGUGACCAAAAUGCACUACACAGCAUAAACUCGUUGCAGUCUUUUGCACAACCCCACAAGGUAAAGGUGAUGCAUUGGAACAAGCUCCAAGCAGCAGUAGCAAAGAGCCCAUGGCAAGCAGCAAGGUUAAUGUGCACGGCAAUGUCCCCACCAAGGAAAGUUGUGACCAAAAGGCACUACAACCCCACAAGGUAAAGGACACACUAGAACAAGCUCCAAGCAACACGGCAAAUAGGGCAGCUACAAGACGGUCCUUCAAAGCAUGUUACAGUAGCAAAGAAACCAAAAUGUCACGCAAUCGCACUACGCAAACCAGCAUCGAUUACACAAGCAGUUUCUUACACCGCAUUAUGACGUCACCACCAAGGGAAAAAUGUGACCAAAAGGCAUUACACAGUGAAGCCCCGUUGCAAUCUUUUGCACAGUACCACACGGCAGCGCACCACCGAGGGAAAACUGUGAUCAAAAGGCACUACACAACGAAACCCCGUUGCAGUCUCUUGCACAAACCCUAGGCAACAGAAAGCACAGAUAUGCCCACGUCCUGCUCACUCCUAAUACCACGUCUCUGAAAGCUUCGUGAGGGUUCCAGCAUCAUGCUCUGCCUUCUUCAAAAUUAAAGAUUCCUAGCAUCACAUCAAAAUUAAAAAAAAAUGUUCUAUUAAAGAAAGUCAAUUUACACUAAAAAUAAAAUAAAAUAAAAUUGUUUCAUACAAAAACAUAAGUAAACCAUUAAAAAAAAAAAUCAGGCCCGUCUCCAUUUCUUUUCGGCCCACAGUAUGGCCCAGCAGCACAUGCUCUCCCCUAACUCUGCCCUUUGUCCUCCUGACCCGAGCCUAUCAUCGGCAAACCCAAGAAUAUAGGCCCAUCAUCUUCCUUAUUCGACUUCAAGCCUUCAUCUCCGCUGGUUUCUCAUGCUCAUCGUCAACAGCUGUAAGAUCACUUCAAGUCAGGCCCAGAACCACAGCCUCAAUCCCCCAUUCUUCCACUUCAUUCCGUGACCUGCAUCUCAACGUCGACUCUCCCUUCACUCAUUAGAUUACGGAGGUCAUAAAUCAGGGGAAAUUGGUGUCUGAUGAGAUUCAUCGAGCGAUUCUGAAUCACCCACAUGACCUGUGCCCCAUCGAUAGUCGUGACUUUGUUGAAACACGAGGACAAAAACGAGAUGGACGUAGAGCCAUAGCUGCAAGAGAUGAAGCCACAUCAGACAGGACCCAACUGUAGUGCACCUCUCUGCUACAAGGCUUCCAUUAACAAACAGCAACCUCUUCACUGCGUUCCACCUUCUUUCUUCGUCUCUCUUAGACGCACAACAAUGGCGUUGCUCACUUCAGGACCAACUGCUCUUGCACCUCCCGCGGUAGCACUGUCAGCCGCAGUACUUAAUCUUCCUCCACCAUAGUCGUUGUACCUCUCCCAGCUCGCCUUCGAAAAGUCAAAGGGUUGGGUCACUUUUGGUUCUCCCCAGUCAACGCUCUACGUAGUGGUUGCGGUUGUGGACAGAGCUCGAGCCAUGGAAGCCCAAACACUCAGUCCACGCUGGCCAUCUAAGAUCUGUUGCAGGCAGCAAGCAAGUCUCUUUGGUCACGUGCGUUUCCUCUCCAACGUCUCUCUUCACAAAUAGCGACAACAGUAGCAGUUGCACGGAAGUUCACAAUCAUCAUCAUAUGUAGGUUGAACUUGAUUUCGAGAGUUUUGGUUGGCUUUUUAAACCGAUGCUAUUUUCGAACAAUUUCACAGGCGGCCUCUUCACUUCUUUGUCAAAAUGUUCGUCUCUGACCAACAAGACAAUAACUUGCUUCAGAUUAUGUACGCCAUGGAAGCUGCACAGGUACAAGCUCCAGCACACUCCGACCGAGACUGUGUCAGAUGGUCAACUGGGUGAAGGUAGUUGUGUCCCGCAAAUGGCUAAUGCAAUGAAGAAAUUGGAAGCUCUUGAGAGCUUUGUGACCCAGGCUAAUCAUCUCCAACGGCAAAAUUACGUCGUGGUCACUGGUUCUUCAUGCUUGUCAAUCAACCACUCCGCCUCCUCUUCGCCUUUCAUCCUCCAUAGCAAUGCACACAUCCAAAAUGCUUGACUCAUCUCCAUUGCCAAGAAUACAUCUGUAACCAAACCUCUCAACAUACUCAGUUUUCUUCCUCCCUGAAAAUACAAACGCCUGACUUUUCUUCCUUGCCAAGAAUACAUCUGCAACCAAACCUCUCGACAUACUCGGUUUUCUUCCUCCCUGAAAAUACAAACGCCUGACUCUUCUUCCUUGCCAAGAAUACAUCUAUAACUAAACCUCUCAACAUACUCAGUUUUCUUCCUCCUUGGAAACACCUCUUUAACCAAAUCACACCAGAGCAAAGGUAUCUCAUAUCAUGCUUUUCCUUUAUCAUUUCCUGUGCCCUUGCUCUUGCCUACAGAACAAGGAGAAAGGAAGCAAUAAGUCGGAACCUGAAAUUAAACGUCCGAUCGGGAACUGAUUGCCCGAAACCUUUGCCUAGUUGCUUACCUAGCAUUGCUCUUGAGUGCUCAUCUUCAACUGUCGACGGGUCUCGAAUUUCCUCAACGAAUACUUCAGGACAGUUGAUAUGAUGUUGGCUCUUUACACUGAAGCUGCUAAGCAUGGAUGAAUCGCUGAGAAGUGAUGCUCCGAAUAACCAUUGAAAGGCAAAAAGUUGCGCACCACUUCUGCCAGGCGAAAGAAACAAGCAGAAGAGAACGUAGCACGAUGAGCUGGAACAAAUCAUUAUAACAGGACACCCUUCUUGGCAGAACUGUAUAAUCUAGACAAAUGAGUCUAAGUCAAAUCCAAGCCCGCCAUCGUUGCUAUAGUAAAAAAGCUCGAUAAGCUUCAACAACCUUUCGCUGGCACUGUCGCCGAAGAGCAAAGUCUCGAUAACUCUUGAAGAUCAUACCGUUCACCAAACUGCUCCGGGUUCAUAUGAAAAUGCUGUGAACUUUUUUGCUCUUUCAAAGCAAAUUCUUUGCAGCAUCUGACCUUAUUCCCUGACCUUCUUUAAUAUGAAUUGGAAAGAUUGAACAAAUAAACAGACCAUCACCUCCAUCUUGUGCUUACUUGCCAUGUGUCCAAAUCCUGAAACUGCUCGUGGUCAUGUUUAAGUUCAAGAUCAAGCCUCGACGGCCCUUGAAGAAAUCACAAGUCCGAUUCAAGAUCAAGUGUCUACCACUCUUGAGUUAAAUCCUUCGAGAUCAAGCCCCAACGGCUCUUGAAGAAAUCAUAAGCCAGAUUCAAGAUCAAGUGUCCACCACCCUUGAAUCAAAUCUAGUUCAAGAUUAAGUCUGUGGAAAGUCCUUUGGAAGAAACCAGAAAAUCCUCCAACCUAGUUCAAGAUCAAAGCUGUGGAAAGUCAAUAAGCGCAACAAAAUACGUGCCGAUUCAUCCAUUACCAAAGCCAAAGAUCAUCUACCACAUGAAGCUUAUUGUGGUCCAAAUUUCAUCCAAGAUCAAGCCUCAACGGCUCUUGAAGAAAUUUCAAACAAAAUUCAAGAACAAGCCUCAAUGGCACUUAAAGAAACUCCCAGCCCAAUUCAAGAUUAAGCCUCAACGGCCCUUGGAUCGACAUCUACAUUAAGGGACUUCAAAAUGCAUCUUCUACACGUGACAAGCGCAUGUAUACAACGCGCCUUGAAGUGGGGGCAUUUGUAUUGAAAUUUCGGUGAAAUAAAUAUUGACAAUUGUAUUAAAAUUACAACCUCCAUUCAUUUCACCUACAUCAUACACUCACCUCACCUACAAUAUCCACUCAAUUCACCUACAACAAUCCACCCAAUCCACUUACAACAUCCACCAAAACAAAAGGAUGGUGGUAAUUCAUUCUCAAAGCCUAUAAAUAGGCCUCCCCAUCAAAGGAUCAAGGGAGGAUUUUACAUACAUUUUCUCUACUCCCAAAUUGGAAGAGAAUUCACAUCACACCAAAGCCUUGAAGCCUCGAAACUCUAAAGCUCUCAAGCAAAUCCUGAAGAAUCAAGAAAGCCCUCUUCGUUCUUCAUCAAAAUCCUCCUUCAAGAUCAAGCCCCAACGGCCCUUGAAGAAACUUCAACUAAUUCAAGAUCAAAUCCCGACGGCCCUUGAAGAAAGUGUUCAUCAUUCAUCAUCCAUUCAUCCUAAAGAUUAAGCCCCGACGACCCUUUGGAUCAACAACAUCAACAAAUCUACCCAUUACAUAGAUAGAAUCAGAGGAUCAAAUUGUAAAAGAUUGUAACGCACAAAAUCAAUACAAAAUAUUAUUUUGUACACGUGUUCUUGUCUCGUUCAUCAUAGGAAUUCCAGUGUUUACAAUGGUAUAAUGAUGUUUGAGUGAAAAGAAUAAACAUUAGGCUCAUUCAUAUCUCUAUCAGUACAAUUAAUUUGAUUAAAUUGUCCACAACUUUCUUACAAUAAAGCUCUAUAUUUCUGUUUAACCGCACUAAAAAACCUGUUUUUCACUCAAGAAUCUUGUCGAACCAUCUCAGCAGUAAUUUUUCGAAAAAAUCACACACAUUUUAAUCUAACACCAACCAAGGAGUUGUCAAAUCAGGAAAAAUCAAAAAGAGAAAAAACUUACCCAAAAAUAACAGGACCGCCGGAACCGUCGGUAAAUCUGAGACUGACCAAGCAAGGAACCAAACAGCAAAAUAUCCUCUUAGCCAGGAAAACUCUAGCACAGGAACAGAGCCAACCCAAAACCAAACAGUUACAAUUCCAUCCAAAAUUAAUCAAAACACAUAAUAAAAAUCAAAACACAACAAUUAGAAAACAUACCUCAGUUGUAGAAAAUUAACUUCCCAGCGAUGCAAAAACAACCGGUGCUCAAACGGAAAACAAAAUCAGAAAUAGAUCCGACCAAAAUCGGUGCAAAUCAGACAUAAACAAACGUAAAAAAUCUCUUGACUAGUCUUGGAAGCUACGAAAUUGAAGAAUCUAUUCCUCAUAUUGAUUCUACUUGAUAUAUCAUUAGUAGGAUCGUGAAAUCAUGAAAUUAUCCAAAAAUCCUAUAUCGUAGAAAAUUGAAAAUUGCAGGUAAUCAAAAGCUCAAGAAUUUUACAUAGAAGAACUAACUUUCAAACAAUUAAAUAUAUAAUUACGGGAGAAAUGAUACUUGUGUAUAGAGGUGUUUCAAUGGAGGGGAGAGAGAGAGAAGCUCCGAAAUCGGGAGGAAGAAGCCGCGAGUAGGUUUUUUAUUUUUAGUUGCUUCGGCAAACGAAGAGGUGGAAGAAAAGAAGAAAAAAGAGAGAAACGAAAUGGAGGGUGAAUCGGUGUUGUAGUUGGUUGCGAGAUAGUGACAGAGAAGUCGAUGGAAAAGAUGAGUCCAAAAGAGGAAAAGAAUAGCAAGGAAGCAGGUGGAACACCCCAGAUUUUUCAGCCUGCUUCCAUUUCACCGAUGACAAACACAUGUAAAACAUGCCGCAAUUGAAAUUAAACAAACCAAGCAGAGGCAAUUUCGUCAGAUCACUGUUACUUUCACUGUUCAUGAACAGUGUUCCACCAAUUUGGGUUUUAUAGAAUAAAUUUAACGUUUAGGAGAACGAUUUUGAUAUGGUGUGAACUCGACAUGGUGAACUUGAUGAGCACGAAAAGCUAGUCGCAGUGCUUCGACAAGUUGACAUUGUAAUAUCUACAUUGUCUAUUCCUCAGCUUAUUCAACAGUUCAAAAUUAUCAACGCCAUCAAAGAUGCUGGCAAUAUAAAGGUGAAAAUAUAUGUGAGAAAUGGUCUUUCGGUUUGAAUGUGAAUCGGAACCAUACAACAACAACAACACAACAACAACAAAGCCUUUUCCCACUAAGUGGGGUCGGCUAUAUGAAUCCUAGAACGCCAUUGCGCUCGGUUUUGUGUCAUGUCCUCCGUUAGAUCCAAGUACUCUAAGUCUUUUCUUAGGGUCUCUUUCAAAGUUUUCCUAGGUCUUCCUCUACCCCUUCGACCCUGAACCUCUAUCACGUAGUCACAUCUUCGAACCGGAGCGUCAGUAGGCCUUCUUUGCACAUGUCCAAACCCAUUUUGUGUACGUGUUGGUGAUUCACCGCCCAACAUUCUGUGCCAUACAACAUCAGAACCAUGAUGUGGAUAUUCUUGGCUACAUUACUUAGUCAAGUUCAUUUUAUAUAUAUGCUCAUGUCUAACUACGUACAAUAUAUACAUAUUGCGAUUGUAAAAUCAGAGAUUUAUUCCGGCAGAGUUUUGAGAUGAUCCAGAAAAAGCAAGCGCGAUGUCGCCUUUUGAGGCGAUACAUGAAAAUAGAAGGGUUAGAGAGGUGACUGAAGCAGCAGGACUUCCGUACACUUAUGUGUGUGCAAGCAUAUUUGCUGCAUAUUUUGUUGAUUAUUUGCUUCAUCCUCAUGAAGAACCUGCGGAAGUCGUUGUUCAUGGGCUGGUGAAGUCAAGGAUAAGCAUGCACGUGGUGCACUACUUUACUUCUGAACCACAAACGCACUAUUUUCCUAGUAGAAUGUUACAAAUUUUUCUUUUAUUUUAUUUUUUUUAAUAUUUAUAUAAAAAUAAUUUACACCGAUUACGUGGCUUGAGAAAUGAAAUGAAAAAUAUUUUUCCCCUGUGAAGUCACCUUCAGCUACAACAAAUAUUGAUCUCUAAGGACUUGUUUGAUAAAUAUUUUGUAUUUAGUAUCUUUAGUUCACAUUUUUUUGGCUAGAAAUUGCAUGAAAGUGUAUGAAAAUAAUAAGGUACGAAGAAAAGAGGAAGGAGGUGUUAGGAUUUUGGCUCGUCAAAUAUGUCCUAGUUGGUUUAGGAUUGUUUUAGGAGACCUAGAGGUAUACCGAUUCUUGUCCUAGAAGGAUUAGGAAAGAAUUUCAGUUUCCUUAUUCAAUUUAGGUUUGGAUUUCUAGAAGUCUAUUUGGAUUUGGAUAAGUGUAAUUUCCUAAUCCACUUAGAAAUAGGAAUUCAAUCAGCUUUGGAACGUGUAAGCCAACCCUAUGUCUAUAAAUAGGGUGCGGCAAGGCUGAUUUUUUAAGAGAGAAAGAAAACAACCAGACAACCAAGAGUUUUGAGAUUAGUUCUAGGGUUUGCAAAAGUUCUGUAAUCUAUAUUAUUAAUCAAAGGAGCGGUGAUUUCUCUACCUAGAGAAAUCACACUGGACGUAGGUAAAAGUUCUGCCGAACCAGUAUAAUUCUUGUGUGUUUCUAAGUUUUCUAAUAUUUGCUAGUUUAGUCUAUUGCCAUUGGUUACAUUAAAGAACAAGGUCUAGUGUGCGGGUUUUUCAACAAUUGGUAUCAAGAGCUAGGAUCAAGGUGUUCUACGAUGUCAAAAGGGAAGAUGAAUGCGGAUCAAGGACCUGCGUUAAAGCCCUUUGACGGCAAGGAUGACUUCACGGACUGGCAAAUGAUGAUGAAGAACGUACUGAUACAACAAGAUUUGGUUGAUGCACUCGAUGGUAAGAAGCCGGAAAACAUGACCAAGGCAUCAUGGACUAAGGUUCUCAAGAAGGCCCAGAGUUCCAUCGAGAUCCAUCUCACAAGAUCAGUUCAGUCACACAUCACCGAAAAGAUGACUGCCCAGGAAGCAUGGGAAAAGUUGGAGAAUGUUUAUAUGGGCAAAACCGUGUCUAAUAAACUUUUUCUAAAGGAUGAACUAUUCGGGCUUCGACUAGAAGAAAGAGGUGAUAUUGAAGAUCAUGUAUGCAGGUUCCAAAAUUGCAUAGCUAAUCUUCAGAAGGUCGAAUAAACUUACAAAGAUGAUGAUAUGGCUAUCAUCUUGCUGAGGUCUCUACCUUCGUCUUUCAAGCACUUUCGAACAACUCUAAUGUUUGGAAAAGAGUCCCUGAAGCUUGAAGACAUAAUUCAAGCUCUUUAGUCAUAUGCUAAAUUGGAUGAUAUAACUAAAAGCUCUUAAGGCCUUUAUGCCAAAGGUAAGGAGAGAGGGCGGGAAAAGACAAAGGAAGAGAAAAUCGGCAAUAGAGGUAGGUCAAAAUCCAAGAAGAAAAAGGAAAAAAAGGAAGGUUGCUUCGAAUGUGGUUCAGCUGAUCAUUGGAAGAGGAACUGCAAGAUUUGGAAAGAGAAGAAAGCCAAGAUGGAAUGAAACUUAGGUUCAGCUAGUGCAGUCACUGAGCAUGAGAGUGACGGGGAGCUUCUUUCAAUAACAUCAGGCUUCAAAGCUUUCACCAAUUGGAUUUUAGAUACCGGAUGUACUUUUCAUAUGUGUGCAGUAAAGGAAUGGUUUGAUACUUAUAAAGAAGUCAGCAGCUGGGAAGUCUUAAUGGGGGACGAUUCUUCAUGUCCUGUAAGAGGAAUCAGCACUGUUCGAAUCAGAAUGUUCGAUGGAAUGAUACGAGCUUUGGGGAACAUUAGGUAUGUCCCUAGACUAAGAAAGAAUUUGAUUUCCUUGGGUACUUUAGAUCAGGCCGAUUAUGAGUACAAGUCUAAAAAAGGAAGACUCAGGGUAACCAAAGGAUCGCUAGUGGUAAUGUGGGGUAACCUACAACCUAAUAAGUUGUAUAAGUUAAUUGGGACCACUUGAAGGAAGAUUUUGUGAAAACAUGUUCAUUUAAGCAACAUCUAUUAGCAUGCAAUUAACAAUUAAAGGCGGAAUCAUGCUAGCAUGCACUUAAAAACAAAACAUUAACCAAGAAAUUCAAAGUCUAGUAGAUUGGUGAACCAAGACUCAACUCAAAUCAAAGUGAGUUGAGAAAUUUAUACCUUUGUAGAUUCCUCUUUGCAUAAGCAAAGGCUAAUCACCCAAAGAGAGGGCCUUCAUUCCUUGCUUCUUAGAUCCAUGGAUUUGGAUGGAAGAAUAGAUUCUCCAAGUUCCCAAAAUUGAGAACCUCUAAGUUUCCACACCAAGGAUGGAUUGAUGAAGAAAUGAGUGACCUAGAGGAAGCAAGAUUGCUAGUUAAUUUCCUCUAGGGUGGCCGGCCUCUUUAGAGAGAAAAGAGAGCUUUGUGUUCUCAUCUUUUCUCCAAAAGAAACCCCUUAAUGAAUUUAGGCUAUAAAGUCCUUUUAUAUAGUCCCUUCAAAUAAGUGACCUAAAGAACCAAAAAGCCAUUCUUCUAACAUGGCCGGCCACAAGGGUUUUAUUGGGCUUUUGGGCCUUUGUGAAUAAGUUGUCAUACAACUUAAGUCAACGGGCUUGACGUUCGAAGCCCAUUGGGCCUUGAGGCCCAAAACUAACCCGUGGUCUUUUAACGAACUUAUUCGUUUGAUUAAUUAACAUAUUAAUUAAUCCUUGCCAUAAAUAAUUAAACCAUUUAAUUAUUCUUACUCAUCUCCGUUGUUUCUUCAAUCUUUACCUUACACGGUGUACGAUCCAUUAGGUUCCUUUUAGCGAGGCAGUGGGCGAUUAGAACUCUUUCAAACGGAUUGUGAAUUGAAACUUACUUUCAAUUCUCCUGUUAGUGAUUAUACACGUUUAGGGCUUCCACAAACCAUGAGUGACACCUAGCAGCAUAUCAUGGUUACCCAAGCUAAUCAGAAGAGGUGGAGAACCUAUUCAGUUUAGGAUUACAAAUGCAAUACGGUCUUUCUCUAAUACAAUACUCUUGACCACAUUGUUUGGUUUAAUAGUUUAUUCAUGUCUACUAUCCAAUGUGAUUCGUUUACUUGUAUGAUUACCUUGAAUGUGAUUUGGAACGCCUUCCUAAAUCUCAUUCAUACUCUGAUAAGAGAUUUUCAAUCAUAUCAUAGAGUAUUCUCCCCCAAACGGUUUGAAGGUUAGAGAUCCCUUGUUGCGCAUUCAAUUGCCUCCAUGGCUAAGUGGCUUAACCCCAACGAUGCCGUGGACAUCCGCGGAUGGGGUGACUUUGACAUAAUCAAAGAUCAAGGACUUAACCACAAGACAACUGUGAUGCCUCAGGUCAAAGGACUACUUUGCAUUAUCCCAACCAUGAGUUCUCAUGUGACAUAAACAUGAGAACUCUUCGUUGAUCGUGUUCAGUGAACUCAUUCUCUAUUGAGCACCUACGUACUUGUCUUGAUGUCACACACACCAAUGACUCGAGACUAGUCACUCUCCCUGAGAGAAGACACAGCACGUACUGAUCUUAACGGACUGUCAAUGCCCAAUUGGCAAUCCUAUGAUCAGGAACGUUUAGGAUGUGUCUACGAAAGAAUGGUCUCAUGAAUCUAACUUCUUUAGAUUGCAUUCUCCCAAUCACAUAUUCCUUGGACUUAUCGUUUAAGCAUAUAACAUUUAUAUGAGACGGCUCAAACAAUAAUCUUUGCCCUUUAUAUUUAAACUACAUUAGUUUAACAUGUGAAAUGUUCGUAAAGUAUCAUCAUAUGAUUGGUUUUAGGGCACAUUUCCAACACCACUAUAGUCGGGGGAGCAGUUGUUUCUAUAAAUCAGAGUGUAGAAGACAAGACUGAACUCUGACAUCAUAGGCUUGGGCACAUAAGCCUAAAAGGGUUGCAAGAAUUACACAAGCAAGGCCUGUUGGAAGGCAUGUCAUCUUGCAAACUAGACUUUUGUGAAUACUGUGUUCUCAGAAAGCAAAGAAAGGUAUCAUUCGCAAGUAGCAGUGUAGAUAACCGAAGCAAAGAGCAACUCAGUUAUAUUCACUUAGAUGUUUAGGGCCCUGCACCAACUAAAUCAAAUGGUGGAGCUAGGUAUUUUGUUACUUUCAUGGAUGAUUUUUCUAGGAAGGUUUGGGUUUAUUUCAUGAAGCAGAAAUUCGAGGUUUUUGCAAAGUUCAAGGAUUGGAAAACAGAAACUGAGAAUCAAACUGGAAGAAAGAUCAAGUACCUGAGAAGUGACAAUGGAGGUGAAUAUACAAGUAAUGAGUUCACCGAUUACUGCAAGCAGGAAGGCAUCAUAAGGCACUUCACAGUAAAGAAGAAUCCCCAACAAAAUGGAGCUGCUAAGAGGAUGAAUCGAACUCUCAUAAAGAUAGAGAUGAGCAUGCGAUUACAUGCAGGAUUGCCUGAUAGUUUUUGGGCAAAGGUUGUUAAUCAUGCAAGUUAUUUGAUUAACAGGUCACCAUCUACAGUUCUUGGUUUUAAAGAGUGCAUAAGAGGUAUGGUCUGAGAAGCCGGUGGACUAUUCCAAGCUCAGGGUGUUCGACUGUAGUGCUUAUGCACAUAUUCCAAGUGAUGAAAGGUCCAAGCUCAAACCGAAGUCUACACAUUGCAUAUUCUUAGGUUUUGAGAAAUGAGUUAAGGGUUUCAAGCUUUGGGAUUUCAACAACAGGAAAAAGGUUAUCAGUCGAGAUGUUGUCUUUGAUGAGACAACCAUGCCUCUUAAUAAAGUCGAGAGCAGUAGGGAGAAGACGGAUGAUGCUGAAAUUGAAGCAACAAAUAUUCCAUUAACCAAUUCAAAUGAAGAAAAAGCUCAUGUGGAGCAAAUCGAGCAAGAGGCCGAAUCUAAUGGUUUUGAGGAAGAAUAAGAGCAUCAGCAUCGUUCACCAGUUAGGAAUCAGGUGGAGCAAGAAAUAGGGCAGAUUAAAGGCACUUCAAUCAUCCAGACAUCCCAAAGGGUUCGAAUUCCAACCAACAAUCCACCUGCAUUCCAGAGAUGCAUAGCACUAGAAAAACCUAAUCAAAACAAGAAGAAGCCUGAUAGAUUUGGGUUUGACCAAGACGAAGUUAAUUAUGCUCUUAACAUUAGUCAAGAAGAUCCAAUUACUUAUCGAGAAGCUAUAGCUAAUGAUGAGAGAGAUAGUUAGAUAAGUGCUAUGACAGAAGAAAUGGAGUCUCUUUACAAGAACUCUGUUUGGGAGUUGGUUCCUAAGCCCAAAGACAAAAAGCUAGUUGGAUACAAGUGGGUAUUUAGGAAAAAGAAAGGACUACAUAAACAAGAUGCCGUGAUAUUCAAAGCAAGGCUUGUGGCUAAGGGGUACUUACAAAAGGAAGAGGUGGAUUAUGAUGAGAUCUUUUCACCUGUAGUCAAGCAUACUUCUGUCAGAUUGCUUUUAGCUAUAGCAGCUCAGCAUGACAUGUAGAUUGAGCAGAUGGAUGUGAAGACAACAUUUCUUCAUAGAGAUCUAGAGGAGACGAUUUUCAUGGCUCAACCAGAAAGGUUUGUUGAAUAUGGGAAAGAGAAACUAGUAUGUCAGCUAAGGAAGUUCCUGUAUGACCUGAAAUAGUCUCCAAGACAGUGGUACAAGAGGUUUGAUUCAUUCAUGCUGAAAAUCAAUUUUAGAAGAUGUUUAUAUGACUGUUGCGUGUAUUAUCAGGUGUUCCAAGAUGGGAUGAUCAUAUUUUCUAUAUGUGGAUGACAUUCUAAUUGCUUGUCAAGACAAGUCUAGAAUUCAAGACUUGAAAAAGAUGUUAAGCAAGGAGUUUGAUAUGAAGGAUCUAGGUGCUGCACAAAAGAUCCUUGGCAUGGAAAUUUAGAGAGAUAGAACCGCUGGAAGGAUCUGGAUAUCACAAGCCAAGUAUAUUAAGAAGGUUCUUGAGAAGUUCAACAUGCAAGAAGCAAAGGUAGUUUCGACUCCUGGCGGCUCACUUCAGGUUAUGUGGGCAACAGUGUCCUACAUCCGAAGAAGAGCAACAAGUAAUAAAGAAUGUGCCUUAUGCUAAUGCAGUGGGCUGCCUCAUGUAUGCAAUGGUAUGCACACGUCCCGACAUAGCUCAAGCAAUCAGUGUCGUUUCCAGAUACAUGGCAAAUCCAGGAAAGCAACAUUGGGAUGCAGUCAAGUGGAUUUUGCGUUAUUUGAAGGGUUCUUGGAGAUAAAGGAUUAUGUUUGAGAAGCAAAAAGAAAAUGCAGGGGUGUUAGGAUAUGUGGAUGUAGAUUAUGCAGGGGACUUAGGCAAGAGAAUGUCAACUUCUGGUUAUGUGUUUACGUGUGUAGGAAGACCAAUCAGUUGGAGGGCAUUACUGCAACCAAUUAUAGCUUUGUCGACCACAGAGGUAGAGUAUAUUGCUUUGGCCGAAGCUAGAAAGGAAGCGAUUUGGCUUAGUGGCUUGGUAAGUCAAAUGGGAAUCACUAAAGAUUGAGUAAAGCUGAAGUGUGAUAGUCAAAGUGCCAUUCACUUGGCAAAGAAUCAGGUUUUUCUGGAAGAUCAAAGCACAUUGAAGCAAGUUAUCACAGAAUCAGAGAUUGGGUAGAGUCUAAGGAAAUUUGGAUUGAAAAGGUUCAUACGGAUGACAAUGCUGCAUAUUUCCUUACAAAGAUAGUGCCGGCCAAGAAGUUCAAGCAUUGCUUGAACUUGAUCAAUCUCGUUGAUUGAUUAAGGAGAAGCACCUCCUCACUUGAGGUGCAAUGAGGCAAGAAAAAGAUUGCCAAGGUGAAGACUCUUGAAGAUUUUCAGAGCUGCUUCAAGAAGGUUCAAAGAUACUCUGGGGUGCAACGAUCAAGACUUGGUUUGACUCACCAAGGUGGAGAUUGUUAGGAUUUUGGCUCGUCAAAUAUGUCCUAGUUGGUUUAGGAUUGUUUUAGGAGACCUAAAGGUAUACUGAUUCUUGUCCUAGAGGGAUUAGGAAAGAAUUUCAGUUUCCUUAUUCAAUUUAGGUUUGGAUUUCUAGAAGUCUAUUUGGAUUUGGAUAAGUGUAAUUUCCUAAUCCACUUAGAAAUAGGAAUUCAAUCAGCUUUGGGACAUGUAAGCCAACUCUAUGUCUAUAAAUAGGGUGCGGCAAGGCUGAUUUUUUAAGAGAGAAAGAAAACAGCCAGACAGCCAAGAGUUUUGAGAUUAGUUCUAGGGUUUGCAAAAGUUCUGUAAUCUCUAUUAUUAAUCAAAUGAGCGGUGAUUUCUCUACCUAGAGAAAUCACAACUGGACAUAGGCAAAAGUUCUGCCGAACCAAUAUAAUUCUUGUGUGUUUCUAAGUUUUCUAAUAUUUGCUAGUUUAGUCUAUUGUCGUUGGUUACAUUAAAGAGCAAGGUCUAGUGUGCGGGUUUUUCAACAGGAGGUAGGAAUGAAGUAGAAUGUAUGAAACAGAUAUUGUCGAUAAUCACAAUUAUUGACUAUUCAAAUUAAAUGCUCAAUGUCUAGCUUGAGACUCGAAGACGCAUCUUAGUCGAACGGGAUUAUUUUUUCUUGUUUCCACAAAAAAAAAAGGUUAUAUUGUUGAAUUCAUUUUUCUUACGUAGGAAAUAUACAGUUGAAAAACAAAUAUGCAAAAAAUAAUUUUUUUUCUUUAUGUUCUUUGUUCUCUUAUUUUGGAUGUCUAUAGUUGUGUUGAAUUAGAGCAGCUCCACCAGAGCUGAUAGCCUGAUAGAUUGGCUAUCAAACAAUGCAUCCCAAGUAAGAAGGUCCAGCCCAAGCUGGUGAUUGAGCCUAAGGGGGCCCGAGGGAGAGGCUCGGCGAAAGUAGUUGGCCCGAGAGCCCGAUGCCCAGGUGAUGCAAGGUUGACGUUAGGCAACAUCAGCUACGUUUUCUCUCUUUUUUAUGUCAGGUGCGUGCACUUCAAGCUCGCGUCAUCCAACACGGUUUCAGACGUGGGGCCCGUGACGCUUUUCUGAAAUGUUACCAUUGGGGAUGCCACGUGGCUUCCAUACGUUCGUUGGAUUUCAACGACAACAUUUUAUGGACCGUUGGAUUUCCAACGGUAAUUUUUUUUAAAACCUUAUUUAAUUUCAACCGUUGGUUCCACGUUAUUCGCCUUUAUAAAUUUAAAAAAAAAACAGUUUAAAAUUUUGAAAUCUUACCGUUGUGCCACGUGGCACAAUCUGGAGUGUUGGAAAUCAAUUUUUUUAAUCCAACGGUAGAGAUUUAUUAUGUGAAUAAAAAAAAUUUAAAAAAUGUAAAAAAUUCAAAUAAAUUCAAAAAAAAAUUAUUUUACUUUUCUAUAAAUACCUUCUCAUUAUCUUCUACCUUACACUACAAUUUCAUAUUUUCUCAACUACUUUCAACCCCAUUCCUAUCUUUCUCUCAAAGUUUCAAUCCCAUUUUUUUCCAUCAAAAUGACUAAUGAUGCAGGUACGAAUUGGACGCUUAUUGAAGAUGUUACGUUGUGUACUAGCUGGGUUGAAGUUACUCAUGAUCCGAUUACGGGUAAUGAGAUGCAGUUGUGAGAAAUGUGGAGUCUUAUUCAUACUAAUUAUCUUGGGAAAAUUGGUGGGAAAAGAAUCAAAGAAUCGAUGUCCAGUCGUUGGAGAAUACUCAGCCAAUCGUUUAGUAUGUGGAGAGACGCCUUGGCACAAGCUAGUAGUAAUCUUCGAAGUGAGGAAAAUUUAGCGGAUCAGGUAACAAUAUAUUAUUUAUUUGUUUGUACUAUACCCAAAUUUACAUUAGCUACUUUGAUUAUAAUUAUUUCCUCUCCCCCAUUGUGUGGACAUUUCAAGCACAAGCCUGGUAUAAUGCCAAAUCCAAAAACAAAAAGCAAUCAUUCACCCGAUGGGAAUGUUGGAAUGUUGUCAAAGAUUGUCCUAAAUUCAGAGUUGUGUCUGUCGGUCCAGAAGUCAUCAUGAACAGCACCCUUUUACAGUCUAAGCCCGAUCAUGCCUCGUAUGUUCCUGAUGAUGAUGUAGAAGAAGUGCUGGAAACGCCCCCUGAACAAGCGUCAGGGUCAACCUGUUAUCCAAUUAGGCAUCAAAGUAAGAAGGCUUCAAAGAGAAAAAGGAGUGCUUCCAAGAAUGAUUAUGCAAAGUAUAUGGAAGAACUUGCUCGCCAAGGUGAACUGACUUUUGCACGAGAAAUGGCAAAACUUGAGGUUGAUAAGGCUAGAGAUGAGGCAAAAGUUGCAGCUGUUGAGAAAGAAUUUCAAGCUAAUGAGAGAGAAAAAGAGCUGCUUAGGCAAGAAAGGGAAGAGAUUAGAGAAGAAAGAAGGGCUCAACGAGAUUGUGACAUUAUGAACAUGCCUUUAGAAGGGAAGUCUCCGAAUUCUAAAUAUUUUUUAGAAUUCUGAGAAAGCAGACGUGGUGUGAAGAAGGCGUGCAAGAGAAGCGAGAGCAAGAGGAGAUGGUCCUAGCACCACAAAUUGGUUAAGUGAUGAUUUUCCAUUCACGAGCCCAUAAUUUUCCAAUCACUUUGUUUGUAAUCGGAGCCUAUAAUUUGCCAAUCACUUUGGGUUGUAAUUUCUUAUUUAUUGAAUAUACUACUUUAUUUAAACUAAGAGUAUAUUUAUUUAAUUUGGUAAUGUGUUUAAACUAAGACAAUCUUUAUUCAAAGGACAUAAACACACCAAAUAAAAACAAACACACUAAAUGAACUUAAAAAACACACCAAAUAAAAUUAAACAAACACACCAAAUAUAAACAAACACACUAAAUGAACUUAAGUAUCUUGAGCUUGUUUCAAUUCCCACUGGUGCUCUAUCAAGUCAAUUUGCCGAGCAUUGUGCAUAUAUGGCUCCUAAAGUGCAGUAUAUUGUUGAAUAAGCCAUUCAUUAUAACGUCCAUCCCUUUCUAAUGGCUCGUGUUGCACGGGUUCUUCGGUGGCGUCAUGAGCACAAUAUAUUUGUGUUCUGGAAUUGUUCAUCGUGUCUAGCUCAUAUUCAUCAACGACAUCAUAAUCGUACUCAUCUUCCACAAUUAUGUUGUGAAGAAUGAUGCGCAUCAUCAUGAUGGAUCAAAGCGACUCUAAAUCAAACAUUUUGGUAAUACCUCUGACAAUCGCCCAAUGAGCUUGGAGGAUACCAAAACAACGCUCUACAUUCUUCCUGCACCCUUCUUGACAGCUUGCAAAGUGUUUUUCCUUUGCACUUCGCGGACAUGGCACUGUUUUGACAAAUGAUGACCAUCUUGGGUAAAUGUCGUCUGCUAGGUAGUAUGGCCCAUAUUACUUAUGUCCGUUGACCCAAUACGUGACUCUUGGUGCUUUUCCUUGCAGGACAUCAUGAACACUGGGGAUUAGGCAAGGACAUUGAGGUUGUUUGUACCAUACUUGACCAAUCCCGAAACUACUGAGCACCGGUCAACGUUAUACCGUCAAGGACCCAGAAGAGUUUCCCUUUAACCAGGAGGCCAAUCACAAUGCGACACGUGUCGACAUCAGAAGCCAAUCAUAGCGCGACACGUGUUAACAUCAGAAGCCAAUCACAACACGACACGUGUCAAUGUUAGAACAAAACUAGAAACUUUCUUCUAUAAAUAGGGAUCAUUCUCCCACAAUAAUCUCUAUUGUCAUUUUGUACUAAACUAUUCACUAGAACUCACAAAAUGAGAGCUUGAACCUAUGUAUUUGUGUAAACCCUUCACAAUUAAUGAGAACUCCUCUACUCCGUGGACGUAGCCGAUCUGGGUGAACCACGUACAUCUUGUGUUUGCUUCCCUGUCCCUAUUCAUUUACGUACUUAUCUUCGCUAAUGAUCGAAGCAACCAAGCGAAGGUCACAAACCUGACACUUUCUGUUGUACCAAAGUCCUCGCUGAUUUUGUGCAUCAACAUUUGGCGCCGUCUGUGGGAAAGACACUUACUCCCACUCUCUUCAGCUUUGUUAAGCUGGUUUCCACCUCCCGUACACUUUUCUUUGGCCAAACAUCUCUCUCCAACAUGGGGAGCGAAAGAAGCCAUAGCACACAGAAUGACACCCCCAUUGGACCUAGUAUGAAGCAACGAAAGCAGGAAGGAAAUAGAGUUAUUUUUCAAGCUAAAGUCGAUGAGUUAGAAGCUCAGAACAACAAGAUAGUGAUGAGGAACGAGGUCCUCCAGGAGCAGUAUGAAAAACUUUUCGAGAUGCUUCACGAGGCUAGGCAUGCUCAAGCACACAAGCUCGUCGCCCCUGCUGAGGUCAACAAUCAUCUGAAUGCCCCCCAACACGGAGGGUCACCGAUAUCCAACACGGACAUCCCUGAUAGGGAUCGAGCUACACAUCAAUGUGAUAAUCAACAUGAGACUUCUCUCAACCCAGCUGCUUUAACCCGAAGCAGAAGGAGUAGAGGAAAGCACCUCCUCACAGAAGGAGUGGAAGGAUCAAAAGCCGUCUAUCGCGAUUGUCGAGACUUCCUAAAGCAAUGUCGAGAGAUCCCAUCCACAUAAGCUCGAAGAUCAAUGACCCAAGAGUUUCUGAAAGACUCGGUCCUCUCCCAAGACCCAGGCCAGCAGUUAAUCUAGGGAAUGGGCAACAAGUCCCAGAAGAACAUGAAGGUACAGGGGACUCGGAAAUGUUCCGACAUACUCACUAUAGGAGUCAGUGUGACGAGUCCAAGGAAAAAUCAUGCUAUCUUGAUCAAACUUUCCUACUUCCAAGAGGCGAUGGGGACUUAUGGAAGAAAACUCCAGUGAUGCACGACUCCACUCAGGACCCCCUCGUCCUACAGCUCCUGGAGGAAGUAAACAAGUUGAAGCUGAACGUCAAACCGAGAUACCUGACUGGAACCAACCCAGGCCUGGCCCCCUCACAAGAAGGAUCCUCAACACCCCCCUCAAAGCGAAGACAAAGUAGAAGCUUGACUUACAACUCUAUACUGGAAGGGAAGACCCGAUUGAACACCUUAACCUCUUUGAGUCCACCAUGGUAUACCGGAAACACACCGAUGAAGAACGGUGCCUUCUCUUCCCCUCCACCCUCUCUGGCGGAGCUUUAAACUGGUAUUGCCGUCUUCCACCUGAGACGGUAGACUCAUUUGAAAAGUUGAGGAAGUUGUUUGUCUCUCAACACAUCUUCCAGACUGAUCACUUGCAUUCCGCAGAUGACUUGUACACUAUUCGCCAGAAGCCGGACGAGUCAUUACGAAAGUAUGCUGGCCGCUUCAGCCAUGAGUAUUGCCACUACGCUGAGGCAGAUGACAAGACUGCCCUCAAGGCCUUCAUGGCAGGCUUACGUGACUGUUUCUUCAAGUACAUGAUCAAUGCCAACACUUGGAAGACUUACUCUGAAGUGAUGGCACAAGCUUACAACCAUGCCUCUGCCGAGACAAUGACAUAUCAAGGGAAACCCCCUACAGUCACCCCUUAUCAGCAAGUAGGGAGUGGAGGCCAGAUCCAACCGAAUGAAAAGACCUCAACCUUCCAAACGGUAGCAGCACACCCCCCGACCUCAUUUAAUGCUUCGCCAAGUCAGCAGACAUAUCAAUCCCAGGGCAAAAGGAAAGAUUUCCAUCCUUACCAAUCUCAUUUUAAUAAAAAGAAUAAGAGGCACUAUCACGAUAACUCAGUAUAUCGUCACAAUAACACCCAUCCCCAGGCAGUCAACGCAGUGGGCCAAUCGCGUGUCAAGACAGGCCCUACCCCGAGGUAUGAGACAUACACACCUUUGAACGCUACAUGCGCGGCCAUCUACCCCAGUAUAGCUUACCUGAUACCAAAGCUAAAGCCAAGGCAGCCAGAUUACAAGUCCACGAAGAACACGGGCGUGUUUUGCUGCUACCACGAGUAUAAUGGCCAUGACGGCGAGAAGUGCAUCAUCCUCCAUGAUCAUAUCGAAGCUUUGGCACGUGAAGGAAAAAUUGAUCAGUUCUUCAUUCACCCUCCAAGGGAUAACCGUAACCAACGCCAGGUGAAUGUGAUAUACUCCAUAAGCGGCAACACACCCAUGUCUAAAUCUUCCAAUAGGGCCAUGAAAAACAGUGAACGAACUUUGAGACAUGGCCAUCAAGUGUUUCACGUGGAAGACAUCAGGGGAGGCAAGUAUCAAAAACCUAACUGGGAUCCAAUAUGUUUCUACCCUGAGGAAGAAAGAGGUAUCAUCUACCUCAAGGCCAUGGUAUCCACACAUAUGAUGUUGAUGAAGUUUCCAACCCCUUUCGGCAAUGGAUACAUCAGGGGAGAUCAACUUAGUGCUUGAUCAUGUUACAACACUUCAGUUAAGCAACAACACCUGCCUGUCCUCAAGGAGACCCUCCCUAUACAUAACUAGGUAGUAAAGACCAGUCCAGAUGAAGCCAACUCGGAUCUUCAUGAUGGCAACAGUCAACCUGACGACCCUCGAGAUGACUCAUUCACCCAGCAAGCACAACCCGCUGAAGAGUUAGAGAAUGUCUCUAUCUCCAAAGACCAUCCAGAUCGCAUGGUGAAGAUUGGCACCACUUUGUCACCACCCCUUCGGUUGUCGCUGAUCUCCUUUUUGCAAGAGAAUGUCGAGGCAUUCGCUUGGUCAUAUAAAGAUAUGCCGGGCAUCUCUCCCGAUAUCAUCUGUCACCACUUGAGUAUUGAUCCCAAGACCAAACCAGUAAAACAGAGGCGAAGAUCUUAUGAUGUUGAACGAUACGAGGCGAUGAAAGCAGAAGUUGAAAAACUCAAGGACAUAGGUUUCGUCCGUGAAGUCAAUUACCCAACAUGGGUAGCAAAUGUUGUCCUUGUUAAGAAAAAUCCGACCAAGGAAAGUCUCCUGCUUCAAAAGGCCUUGUGGAGAAUGUGGUCGACUACACCGACCUAAACAAAGGAUGCUCGAAGGAUAGUUUCCCCCUUCCUCUCAUUGAUAGACUUAUAGACUCUACGACAGGGUGUGAGCUCUUGAGCUUCAUGGACGCUUAUUCAGGAUACAACCAAAUCCUCAUGAACCCCUCAGACCAAGAACACACAGCCUUCACUACUGACAGAGGACUAUAUUGCUACAAAGUCAUGCCUUUCGGCCUAAAGAAUGCAGGAGCAACUUAUCAGAGACUGGUCAAUUCAAUGUUCGCCGAACAGAUUGGGAAGAGCAUGGAAGUUUACGUUGAUGAUAUGCUAGUCAAGAGCAAACAUGCUGACCAACACAUCACCACCUAUCUGAAACUUUCACCAUUCUAAAGAGGUAUCGAAUGAGGUUGAACCCCAACAAAUAUGCCUUCGGCGUGGGAUCUGGCAAAUUCUUAGGCUUCAUGAUUAGCCAACGAGGCAUUGAAGCUAACCCCGAAAAGAUCAAAGCAAUCCUCGACAUGAAAGAGCCAGUAACUUCAAAAGACAUCCAAAGCCUUACUGGCAAGGUGGCAGCCUUAACCAGAUUCAUCUCUAAGGCCACAGACAGAUGUGCUCAUUUCUUCAAAGCACUCAAGGGAAAUAAGAAGUACAUUACAUGGACGGAGGAAUGUGCCAAGGCAUUCAGGAACUUCAAAGAGUACAUGAGUAAAGCCCAUCUGCUCUCCAAACCAGAAGUUGGUGACACUCUCAUUAUCUAUCUAUCGGUCUCGACUUCAGCAGUCAGUUCUGUUCUUAUCCGAAAGGACAGUGGUGUCGAACGACCUGUCUACUACGCUAGCAAGGCCCUACAAGAUGUGGAGACACGAUAUUCCAACAUUGAGAAAUUAGCUCUAGCAUUGGUCAUGUCUGCUCGAAAACUUCGCUCUUAUUUCCAAGCACACGCCAUCAUCGUGCUUACCAAUCACCCUCUUCGAUAGAUACUCCAGAGUCCUGACACGUCUGGGCGAAUGAUCAAAUGGGCAAUAGCAUUGGGUGAGUUUGACAUCUCCUACCAACCAAAACCAGCCGAAAAGGGUCAAGCAGUAGCAGAUUUCAUCGCCGACUUCACAUAUCCUGUUGACAUUGCUUCUACACCUAAAGCAAUAGCUUCAUUACCAUCGGAAGCUCAGAAGACAGAAUCAACAACCCCAGCAUGGAGUCUGUAUGUUGAUGGCUCAUCCAACCAACAGGGAUGCGGAUCAGGAUUAGUCCUCACUACCCCUGACAAAGUGGCGAUAGAAUACGCUCUUCGUUUCAAAUUCAAGGCAUCGAACAACGAGGCCGAAUACGAAGCCCUUCUAGCAGGCUUACGUUUGGCCAAGCAUCUUAAAGUUAAACAAAUUGAUAUCUUCAGUGACUGCCAAUUAGUGGUCAACCAAGUCACGAACAACUUUGAUGCUAAGGAUAACUCUAUGGCAGCAUAUCUUGCGCAAACACGACUUUUGCUCAAGCACUUCCACUACCAGAUCACCCAAGUUCCUCGAGCGGCAAACAGUCAUGCAGACGCUUUGGCCCGCCUCGCCUCGACAGUGGAAGACAAGAUUGGGAGAAAAAUUCAUGUCGAAUUGUUGGCAGCACCAAGCACCAUGGUCGCAGAAGUGUGCAAUUUACAACAAGGAGAUAGUUGGAUCACCCCAAUUUAUAAAUUCCUUGCCCAUGGCACCCUUCCAAAUGACAAAGUCCAAGCUAAGCAGAUUCGAUACAAGUCUGCUCGCUACCUGAUCAUUAAUGACCAACUCUACAAGCGCGGUUUUACCCUGCCCUACCUAAGAUGCCUUACACCUGCGGAGGCGGAAAUUGUCCUUAGGGAAAUACAUGAAGGAGUCUGCGGAGAUCAUGCUGGGUCUCGAUCCCUAGCACACAAGACUUUUCGCCAAGGAUACUAUUGGCCAACACUCCACCAAGAUGCCAUCAGAAUAUCUCGCUCAUGUGAUAAGUGUCAACGCUAUGCAACUAUCCUUCACUCCCCUCCCGAGCCGCUCACUCCUAUGAUCAGCCCUUGGCCCUUCGCCCAAUGGGGACUUGAUUUGAUCGGCCCAAUGCCUACAGGGAAGGGCAAGGUCCGCUAUGCAAUCGUUGCAGUUGACUACUUCACAAAGUGGGCUGAAGUAUAACCCUUGGCAACCAUUACUGAGGCAAAAAUAGAAGACUUCGUAUGGAAGAACAUCCUCUGCAGAUUCGGCAUUCCCAAUGCGAUAGUCACCGACAAUGGGCGGCAAUUCGACAACAAGAACUUCAGGAUGUUCUGCUCUAAGUUCAACAUCAACUUAUGUUUUGCCUCUCCAGCCCAUCCUCAGUCUAAUGGACAAGUCGAGGCCGUUAACAAAAUAAUCAAGCGCACUCUGAAAACUAGCUUGGACAAAACUAAAGGUUGUUGGCCAGAAUUCGUACCCCAAGUUUUUUGGUCAUACCGCACUUCAUAUCGGACUUCCACAGGAGAAACUUCAUUCUCACUUGCUUUUGGUACAGAAGCAGUUGUCCCGGUUGAGCUUGAGCAAGCAACAUACAGAAUCCAGAACUACAUGCAGAGUGAAAACGACAAACAACUCACUCUCAACCUGGAUCUAGUCGAGGAACAUAGAAAUCAGGCUCACCUGAGGAAUAUCGCCUACAAGCAGCGCAUCUCCAACUACUACGACUCAAGGGUCAAACCUCGCUCCUUCAAAGUGGGAGACUGGGUACUGAAGAAAAGAUUACUCUGUGAUAGAGUCCCGAAUGAAGGAACACUCAGUCCUAACUGGGAUGGACCGUUCGAGGUCGUCGGCAUCAGUCGCCCUGGCUCCUACAAGCUCAGAAGCUCCGACGGUAAGACUCUUGGCCAUCCAUGGAAUGCUGACCACUUGAAGUACUAUUACAAAUAGACUCACACUGUACAAGUGUUAAGCUACAGCCGUUCGGCAUCCUAUGUAACAAAGACCAUUUGGUAUGAAUUCAAUAAAGAGGUGAUUUAGCCAACUCGGCCCUAAACUCUUUUACAUUCUGAACAAUGAAACACUCAAGUGUUGAAGCUUCAACGCAAAUGUUUCCAAUACAAAACAAAAUCUAAGUAUGUGUCAACAAGACUAUACAAAGGAUCUACAUCAUACAUUCCAACACAUUCAUACAUAAACAUCAUACAUUCCAACACAUUCAUACAUAAACAUCAUACAUUCCAAUACAUUCAUACAUAAACAUCAUACAUUCCAACACAUUCAUGCAUAAACAUCAUACAUUCCAACACAUCCAUACAUAAGCCAACUGUGCUUCGAAAGGGUUCAACACACUUUGUGUCAUUCGACAUUUGCCACAAUAUGCCUCGACACCUUGCCGUUAUUCUCACCAACUAGGUGAUGAAGGAACUCACCUUCGUACCACCAACUAGGUGAUGAAAUGUACAACCCGUACUCUAAUAUUAUUUGGAAACCUGCCACCCUUAUCACCAAUCAGGUGAAGAAGGAACUCAUCUUCAUGCCACCAACCAGGUGAUGAAAUGUACAACGCGUACUCUCCUUCAUGUCACAAACCAGGUAAUGAAAUGUGAUGAAAGGUGAUUAAGGAAUUCACAUUCGUACCACCAACCAAGUGAUGAAAGCAACCCACCCUUCAUUCCACUAACCAGAAGACGAGUGGUACAACUUGUACAUGUGAACUCCUAGCAUUCACAAAUAAUCAAAAACCAUCAAGUUUUACAACUCAACUAGGGGAGCACUUAUGCCUAACAAGAGCUAUAGUCACCAACAAAGUCUUAUUGCAAGCCAACAAUGGCUUCAGUGCAUGGUAUACGAAGAUCAAGCUCUUCAGCCCUCUUGCAUCUGCUUCAGACAUUUCUCCUCUGUAACAAUGCAAACACUAAAACUCAUAAAAAGCUUCACACGCUCUUGAUCAAGACUGUUCGAAGCAAAUUCAAUUUAUAUGGUUCAUCCAAACCUUCGACUACUACAAGAUGUGGCUUGAAUCACAAUCUCUCGCUCAACAGUAUGGAAGCAAAAUUUGUAUAUGUUGUCUCUCCCACAUUUUCAAAUUUCUAGUUUUCCCAAAAAAAAAAAAAAAAAAAAAAAAAAAAAAAAAAAAAAGAGGAAAUUGGAAAUUGGGAAAUUCAACAAAGCUUCAUCAAUGGAACACAACUACAAUCUCAAAAGCUUUGCACUAUCUUCAUCAAGAUAGUGUGAAGCAAAAUCAAUUUAUGGUGCCAACAGAAGCUUCAUCAAUGGAGGACAAAUAUCAAUCUCAAAAGCUUUGCACUAUCUUCAUCAAGAUAGUGUGAAGCAAAAUCAAUUUAUGGUGCCAACAAAAGCUUAAUCAAUGGAGGACAAAUAUCAAUCUCAAAAGCUUCGCACUAUCUUGAUGAAGAUAGUGUGAAGCAAGAUCAAUUUAUGGUGCCAACAAAAGCUUAAUCAAUGGAGGACAAAUAUCAAUCUCCAAAGCUUCGCACUAUCUUCAUCAAGAUAGUGUGAAGCAAAAUUAAUUUAUGGUGCCAACAAAAGCUUUACCUAUAAAGCUUCAACCCCAAAGCUUCACCUAUAAAGCUUCACCUAUAAAGCUUCAACACCAAAGCUUCACCUAUAAAGCUUUCAACACCAAAGCUUCACCUAUAAAGCUUCAACACCAAAGCUUCACCUAUCAAGCUUCAACCCCAAAGCUUCACCUACAAUACAAAAUUUCAACACCAAAACAUAUAAAAGCUUCACACACUCUUCAUCAAGAUAGUGUGAAACAAAAUCAAUUCAUGGUGCCCAACAAAGCUUUUCGGAAAUUCGAAAAUUCAAAAAUCCGGAAAUUUGAAAAUUCAAAAAAAAAAAAAUCAAAAAAAAAAAAAUUACCUAGGCCUCAUCUUCUUUGGGCCUAACAACUUUCAUAACAAAUAUAUAUGAAGAAGGAGUUUUGGGCUACCACUUCGAAAGGAAAUGCCUCAUUCGUCAACUCCUUCGACCAGAGACUUGGGGGACUCCUACCAUAUGCUACUGCACAUUGAUACUCAGAAGUCUCACGACCACUCAGUGACUUGGAUUUUUCAAGUCUCCAAACGAGAAGUUUUCCUCACUCGGGAAAUUAAGGGAGCACUACCUCAACCUACAUGCUUCACUCACAAAGUUUCAACAUACAAGCUUCAACAAAAGGAAAAAUUCAAAGAACUUAGUGAAGAAGGCCUUGGUGUAUUUAACACAAUACGUUGAAAUGAAGCAAAUCUUGUUUAUUGAUAUUUUCGAUAAGUUACAAAUAUGUACAUAUACAUGAAUCAAAAUAAACAAACAAGAGGGAGCCUUCACAAAGGUUGCUCAGAGGAAGCACAGGAGGGUGGUUAUCCGGAGCCUCAGUACUGGACAGAACCCCAGAAGGAGGAGGCAUCGGAGGUUGAUCAUUUGGAGCUUCAUUACACAGUACAGCCUCAGAAGACGACGGCAAUAAAUGCCUUUGGAACAAACCCACAAACCGCUGAUGAUCAAAUAAAACCUGACCAUCAGAUUCCUUCAUCUGGUCAAGCUUCCUCUUCAUGUUUGUAGCAUAGUCAUGUGCAAGCCGGUGCAACUGUUUAUUCUCAUGCUUGAGCCCUCUAAUCUCCUGUUUGAGACUCAUCACUUCAGCAGCCAAUGAUUCAACUUGGCGGGUUCUAGCAAAUAGGCGUUGGGCCAUAUUAGACACAGAACCUGCACACUGAACACUAAGAGCCAGAGAAUCCUUAACAGCCAACUCAUCAGACCAUUUGGAAAAUAGUCUGUUAUCUUUGGGAGUGAAAAGGUUCCUGGCCACCACCGCAGCGGUCAUAUCAUUAUUCAUCACAGAAUCCCCAACGGUAAGAGGACCAGUAGAGGAUAUGAAGGAUGGGCGCCAUAUGUUGUCUGGAGAAGGCGUGGCUGUCUCUUCUCCAAGGUUCAAGUCAAAACGACGGUCAGAGGGGCCAGACAUUUUCAAAGGUGUUGAAGAGGGAAGAGGUUAGACAAAUCAAGAUCUUAGAAGUGCAAGAAGGGAGCUUCUACUGGUGGAGAUUCAAGUGUGCUGUGGAACUUAAUGCCAACCUCUAUAAAAAUCUGCACUUGACAGAGCUUCAGAAAUCGAAGAGACGUUUGCUUUCUCGAAAGCUGAGUUGCUUAGAGACCACGAGGGCCGAUCUUAGAAAUCGACGAAGCACCUGCUUUUUCAGCCUCGUCAGCACCUGUCACAUGCACACUCAGCUUUGUGGAAAUUACGGGCAAUCUGUCGAAGAUUUCUGGUGAAGUAGAAAGCACGUGAAUCUUACUGUUCAAUCACCACUCUCCACACGCACCAUCAACUCCUCGGGUACCAUAUAACUUUGCCAAAGAUCUCUGACAAAGUUUAGGCACGAGAAUUUCGAAGUUCCAGCUACCCUACUAUUACCCACAAGGGUAAAGGAACAGCACCACUGCUUGACAACUGGAAAGUCCCUAUGUGUGUCGACCUCCGUGUUCUGUGGAAAGACAGGCUGGCAAGAACUUCCAACCUUUACUCACCUUCGAGAAAAGACUCCCAACAUAAUUACUUUCUCAAAAACUGAAGUUGCACCGCUUUUCGAAUCUCGAGAGCUAGAUCCCCGACGGGAUUGCUUGUUCGAAAACUGAAGAGGCACAGCUCUCAGAACUUGGAGAGCCAGAUUUCCUUAGAUAAAGCUUGUCUGUAAUCUUCACACGCAACAUCAGCUUUCCAGAUACCACAUACCAAUUUUUCAAAAUGCUCUGACAAAGUUAAAACACGUGAAGCUGGCAGCUCCCACUACAUUGCUGUGACCAAGAAGGGUAAAGGAAUAGCAUUACUACUAGUUAUUGGGAAAUCCCUAUAUACAUCGACCUCCCUCCUCAACGGACAGGCAAACCUGCAAAAAUGCUCAACUCUUUCUCACAUUCGAGAAUGCACCCUCAACAUAACCUCUCGAAAUACUCAGCUUUAUUUCCCCCUGAUAAUACCUCAGCAAAAAAGCCACACCAAGAACAAGAGUAUCUCAUAUCAUCAGGGUCGAAAGCAAGAGUAUCCCAUAUCAUGCUUUCUCCCUGUCCUUGUCUUCGUCCUUGUCCACACCUGCAGGACAAAGAGAAAGAGAGCAGUCAGUCGGAACCUGAAAUCAAACCUCCAAUCUGGAACUGACUGCCUGAGACCUUUGCCUGGUUGCUUACUUAGCAUUGCUCUCGAGAACUCAUCCUCAACUGCUGUCAAGGUCAUGAAUUCCACCGGCACAUACCUCAUGACAGUUGAUCAGAUAUUGGCUCUUUACACGGAAGCUGCCAAGCGUGGAUGAGUCACUAUGAAGGAAUGUUCUGAAGGACCAUUUAAAUGCAAAGGUUGCGCACCACUUCUGCCAUGCAAAAGAUUGAAGCAGAAGGUUCAACGGUGAGUUGAAACAGAUCACUACAGCACGACACUUUUCCAUACCACAUUCACUAUUCCGUCAACAGCAAAAGUAUCCCAUAUCAUCAAGGUCGAACGUACUCUAGAUUUGAUGGACUUUUUUUGACCCUCAAAUUCUUGAGUCGGCCUUAUACUCUGAAGGGAACCAUUAAACCCUCCAGCACAGUUCAAGAAUAUACCUGUGGAAAGUUACUUCUUCAAAAGCAAAAGUAUCUCAUAUCAUCUCUUCUCCAUUUGCUUCUCCUUAUCCCGGCAGCUGAAUGAGAGACAAGAAGAAAGAGAACAAUCAACCGAAAGCCGAAGUCGAACCUUCGAUCCUGGGUUGCUUGCUUGGAAGUUUGACUGCUUACCUUGUCUGUCACCUCUUUCGGCAGAUCUCCUAGCUCGGCGACUUGGGGGACUCCUACUAUAGGGUUUGUAUCGCACUUGACCAAGCCCGAAACUACAAGUAAGCUUCAAGUGAAAUUGAUACAUUACCUUGUGCAUCUUCAUCGGUUAAAGAUACCACCCAUGGAUGAAGGAAAAGUACUUCCAAAGAAGAUGCCACAUCUACAUAUGAGACAGAUAAGGCACAUGAAAAUGAUACCACACUUUGGUACUUAGAAGUUUCGUGAUUACUCAGUGGCUUGGAUCUUGCAAGUCCCCAACCGAGGAGCUUCCCUCACUCAGGAACUUAGAGGAGCACUGUUUGUACCAUACUUGACCAAUCCCGAAACUACUGAGCACCGGUCAACGUUAUACCGUCAAAGACCCAGAAGAGCUUCCCUUCAACCAGGAGGCCAAUUACAAUGCAACACAUGUUAACAUCAGAAGCCAAUCACGGCGCGACACGUGUCAACAUCAGAAGCCAAUCACAACACGACACGUGUCAAUGUUAGAACAAAACUAGAAACUUUCUUCUAUAAAUAGGGAUCAUUCUCCCAUAAUAAUCUCUAAUGUCAUUUUGUACUAAACUAUUCACUAGAACUCACAAAAUGAGAGCUUGAACCUAUGUAUUUGUGUAAACCCUUCACAAUUAAUGAGAACUCCUCUACUCCGUGGACGUAGCCGAUCUGGGUGAACCACGUACAUCUUGUGUUUGCUUCCCUGUCCCUAUUCAUUUACGUACUUAUCUUCGCUAGUGAUCGAAGCAACCAAGCGAAGGUCACAAACCUGACACUUUCUAUUGUACCAAAGUCCUCGCUGAUUUUGUGCAUCAACAUAUGUCAUUUUGAGCUCUCGGGCCAAAAAAGGCAUGCCAAAUCCAUGUAUCAAAAGAUGCAACCACCUCCAAAAUGAUACUUUUGCUCCUUUUCUGUCCCCAUAAGCGCCUUACCAUGAACGUGGAUAGUUUCUCCAGGUCCAGUGCAUACAGUCGAUGCUUCCAAUCAUCCCGGGAAAACCUUGCAUCUCGCCCUUCUUCAGAAGCUUUAGCAAGUCCAUCUCAGUAGGUUUCUAGAGGUAUUCUACAGUGUAGAUAGAUUCGAUUGCUCUACAAAACCUCAUCAGGGACUCAAGAAUGGGUGAUUUCCCCAUCCUCGCUAUCUCAUCCACUUGGUCUGCAGAUGCUCCAUAUGCAAGCAUCCGCAAGGCAACAAUAAUUUUUUGCUCAUAAAGGAGACCCAUAACACCAAAAGCAUCAUUCUUUUACACAAAGUAGGAAUCAUGGUUGCAAAUAGCAAUCAUGAUUCUAUUGAACAAAUGUCGUUCUAAAACGACGUCUAAAGUACAUAUUAGGGAAUGCACUGUUACGGACAAAAUAAUCGUCCAAGAGAUCUGUACCUCAUCGUUGCAUGCUUCUAUCAAGGUUUGCGGAACGGCUGGGCCUGCAGAUUUGAGCCACAACUUGGAUGACUUGACGGGAAUGUAAGGCUUUGGCCAUUCUUGCUUGGUCAUCUCUCCUUCUAUGCUCCUCAUCCUCUUUCAUCUCAUUUUGGGCCACCUGGAGAUUGAACAUUCCUUCUGAUUGGUUAAACAAUUCUUUCUCCUGCUGAUUGAUUUCCCGCAUCAUCCUUGAAGAAUAAGACAUUGUAAGAAAGAAGUAGAAACUAUAAAUAAUGAUACAGAUUUUGAUUUUGGUGAAGAAUGAAGCAGAAACUAUGAAUAAUGAUUGAGAUCUUGAAAAAAUUGGUUUGAGAUUUCUGAAGAUGGAUGGUGGAUUAUAUGGAGGAUUCAGAAAGGAUUAGGCUGUAGAUAAUGUCACGUGGCAUGCUGUCAUUUUAUUAAAAUUCUAAUUGAAAUAAACAGAUUGUGACACAUAGCGCGACGUGAUUGGUUAAAAAUCUUAUCGAAAAUCUAUCCUCAACGAUUCUGAAAAGGUAAUGACAUGUGGCAUGACAGCAUUGGAUAAAAUUGUAUCGAAAUCCAUCACCAAUAAUUGUCUUUUCGGUUAAUGACACAUGGCGUAACGAGAACGAUUAAAAAUCUUAUCCGAAAUUACAAAUAAAAUUAUUUUGUAUUAUUUUAUAAAUAAAUAAAUACUAAUAUUGUAUUGCCUAUUGCCAGGGUUAUUCAGUGUAAGGGUGGAGAUGCAAAAGACAAUUAUUAUUCAUUAAAGGCAAUUAUUGUUCACUAGGUGGAUUAAAUAGUGAAUAGCCCUAGGGCAUUUUGCAACAGUAGAGUUGCUCUUAUGAGGAAGACAUAGCCACCUACACAAUAAAAGCAGUAAUAGAUCUAAAGGCAGACAAUCAUGUCCUCACUUGUAAACCAUAAGGAAACAUUAUAUCUCAGCUGGAUUUGAUUUCUUGUUGGGAGAAGAAGACAUGACGGAUUCUAAGAAGGAUUCAAUAAAUCCUAAAUCACUUUGAGAGUAAGAAUAUUCAUAAUCUACGUACAACUGCAUAUACGAAAGUAAAGAUUACAGAUUCAUGCAUUACCUUUUCUUCAUGGAUACACAGAUAAUGUUUCUUGCACAUUUUCUUCGUUAUGUGAGAAGAAAUCAAACUUAGCCCUAUCAUAAUCCUAAUUCCUAAGUCACUACCGCACCCUCCCUCACCACUUCAAUUAGCCACAAUGAUUUCUUUUAUUUCUAGAAAAAAAAGACCAGCUGAUGGUUUCGCCACAACAGUCCACCUUCUGGGGGCCAAGAGUUAGCCACAAUGACUUAAUGACCAUCUAAUUCAAUUUGAUAAUCAAACAAUUCUUACUGUAAUAAUAAAAAUAAUGCCAUUAACUAGUUGUUUGAUUUUGUGAAUCAAAUGGAUGGUGAUGACCUCAUUUAUAAUGAUUUUUUAAAACCAUUUUGCUUCAAUUUCUUGUAGCCCUUCCUCCCCCAGACAAUGUAUGAGCAGCAAUCAUUUACAGCAUAUUCAUCAAAGGUCAAAUAAGAAUUGAACUCACAGCAAACGAUCUAGAGGCCUCAAAAUUAUAUCCUGAUUAUAGCUCCACUUCCAUUGAUAACUUCCUUGAUAUUUGCUUGGCUGGUCCUCCCAAGCCAAGAUUAGCAUCAUUGUAACUAGUUUCCUUGAUAUUUGCAUGUUUAAAGUACUAUUGUAAUUUGUGUUUCAUUAUUACAUUUUUGUGAUAUGCUAAAAUAUAAUAUAAUAAUAAUAAUAAUAAUAUAAGAAUAGCCUGCUAUGAUCUCAUGAUAAACUUUAUAGGUCCAUGCAGGUUUUAUCACAAAAGAUCUGGGUGAUAUUGGAGGUGGUAACUCCUAUGUAUUAGUUGUAUAUCAUUUUGUCAUAGGAUUGAUGUGAGAUUCUAUUUUCCAACAAUACAGUCCAGAGAAGUGAUUCCCUCACACUCAUUUUCUCCUUAUGCCACUCGUGCUUAUUUUUAUACCUUGAUUCUCCGUUUAUUUUAUUCAAUCCAACAACCAGAAAUAAACAGAGUUGUACACAUAAAGAAAAAGAGUAAAUAAUAAUCACUUCCCCAUCAUUAUGUUCAUUUUCUCUCAGUUUGGCAGCUAGUGGUCAAUUUUUCUCAGUUUUGCUCCAUAAUAAAAUUUUGAGGUGCCUAUAAUAACAAUCUUCACGAAUCGCUCAUACACUGCCUAUGCACUUUCAUGCCAAAUAACAUGCCUACUGGUCCACAUGAUAUAAGAACUCCAUCAAUUUGAACUAUGUCCAUUGCUUUAAAAUUAAGAUGAUUGCAUCCCAUUUGUUCCUCACCCAAUAAAAAAUAUUUCAAAAUAUCUGAUAUCUUUAAGUAAGGUAUUUUCAACAAAAAUCCAAAGAUAAUUAUCAUGAUUAACACACAACAAAACUUAAACCCACAGAUUUUGCACCUAAGAUCCUCUCUCAUCCAACGGCUUAAAAUUCAUGAGUCGAGCAUGCAAAAAAUGUGUACAAGCACAAAGUAUAUAAGGAAAUACCCAAAAAUAUGGCAAUUUCUUAAUCUUGGUAUAGACAUAGGACAUUUCGAAUAUGCACACGCCAUGUACAACAAUCGGACAUAAAUAGGAUUUUUCCUACACCUUGAAAUGACCAAAUUGUCCUCCCAUGUAAAUGAGUUAUCCAGAAAUUUCAAUUCUCAUUUCUCAUUUGUAGAGAGAGAAACAAAGAGGCCAAGUGCUCUAUCUCUAACCCACCCAUCUUCUUCAUCCAAGCUCUCUCUUUCUCUAUCCCCUCUCUCUACAUUUUCAUUUGUAGGUUUUGUGAACCAGGUUUGCUUAAUUUUGCCUUUUGAUUAAUGGAUUUUUGGAGUUGAAGUGAUUGAUUUGGAUUUUUGGAGACCCAAAUCCUUGAUUUUUUAUUUUUUAUUUUUUUAUUGUUUCUCUUAUUUAUAUGUGGAUUUUCAUUUCUUCUGUCUUCUCAUUCCCUCUACUCCCUCUCUCGAUCCAAAUUUACAACUACAAGACAAUAGUUCAUCUACAACGACAAUUCCAUCACAAUCUUUAUGAGCCUAUUGUAAAAAAUACAAAUUUACCACGGACAUGAUAAGCACGUGUUUAAUAAUAAUUUUUUACCAUGUGCAAAUCUUAACCCGUUAUAAAAUUGCAGUUAAUGAUCAUGCACAAAGUUGCACAUUGUAAAAAUAAUAAGCCACCAUAGGCAAUGCUCGUGGUCAAUAUUGAUAGUAUCCACAACGUCUUUUUAUUACAACGGGGAUAAUGUGUUGUAUAAUUAUAUAUAUUUUAUUAAAAAAUCAGGAGGCGGGAGACCAAAAUUUUAAAUUUUAAAUUCGAAAUUUUUUUAUUGAAGCCCCUUAAUUGGUAAGAAUUUCAAUUUAGGUUUGAUUCUAUGCUUCAUGAUUUAGGUUUUACAAUUUAUUCUCUUAAUUUUCUAUGUGAAGUAUUGGUUGAUACUUGAUAGUGCUUUUCUCCCGUUAAGCCUCUCGAAUUCAGUUGGUGCAGAUACCAAAUUGGAACGAUGGGUAGAAUUUUGUUCGCAUAAAUGUUCUUCCUUCAGUCCUUUUAUUUUAUUUUAUUUAAUUAACUUGGCUUCCUUAAAUAUUUUGUGUUGUUCAAUUUCAAUGUGAUAGUUGAUCCUCGGGUUCAGCAUUUGAUACAUGUCGAUCCUCUACCUGUCUUAGUAGUUUAAUAUAUCCUUGGCACAAUUGGCACUUGGACAUUUUGUUAUCACUUAGAUGAUGGAUUGCUUGCCUUUUGGGAAUUGACUUUAGGGAAUUUUAACAAAAAGCUCAUGGUACUGUUCAUUUGGAUUAAAUUUUUUCAUGUAUCAUGUCCUUGAGUUGAGACAUGAGUUUUGCUUUGUAACAUAUAUAUUUUUUCUUGUUUUAUCUCAUAAGUGGUUGGUGGUUCUAAUUUACGAGGGUCCAUAACUCUAAUGUCAACUAUUAUAUUUAUCGGCAACUGCGAAUUUGAACUUUGAAGUGUGUGCAUAGGCGAGCAAUUGCACAUUUGAAAGGAUUUUGUUUCGAGGUGUUCAAGGAAAACUAAAGUCUUCUAAGUAACAAUUUCCUUGUAAAUUUCAUAUUUCUUAGGUUAGCUUGUAGGUUUUUGUUGACCCUAAAAACUACCAAGACUACGUGACGUGCAGGCCGAGUAACUAAUGAGCUAACAACAUCCUUCGGUUGCGUGCGGGGUGUGCCAACUCGUCAGCCGAGCUCGGUCGGUGGGUAAAAUUUGUUGAUGUUGCGUUGGGUGCGCUGCUGACUUCUUGAUUUUGCGACUGCGGCCGAGGAAGGAACAUGUCUUGGCCUUCGGGUUCUAGAGCCUGAAGACAAGGCUGCUAGAUCUGCGAAGUUCAAUAUCAAAUUCAACUCUCAGGGUACCGAAUCUAGAAACCUGGUAACACCUCACUUUACCGAGAAGGCUGAUGAGAUGACCUCUGCCAAUAAGGAUUUGAAAAUCCUUCUCGAUUGAGACUUGGAUAGAUAACUAGUUGGCCUCGUCGCAAUGUUGUUUAUCCAAACUGAAGGUGCUUCACGGUCGGCUGAUUCUAUGGCAACAGUGUUGUUUAUCCAAACUGAAGGUGUUCGUCGGUUACCUUCACAGUAUUGUUUAUACAAACUGAAGAUGUGUUGGCGAAAAAGAAAAUAAAAAUCUCAAGGUUGUUGAGAGGUUUCGCGUAGAGCGAAAGUUUGAGCAUGGUAAUUUGUGUGUUGAGUUGGAGAGGCUUUUUCCGUUGCCACUGCAUCUAUAUUUAUAGGGACAAGUACGCGGUUGAUAAACUUUGAAGUUCCACCACACUACUAAAAUUCUUUCACUGUUCAAACCUUGGUCAAAUCCUAAUCUCGUUAGUGUAAUCCGCAUGCAUCUUUAUCAUGUGCCCAUCACUGUUUAAACAAUAUUUCAUGAUGAGGCCAUGUGCUUGAUGAGAUGUGUUUCUAUCUCAAAUGGGACUCUAGAUUGAUAACAAUGAGCCAUGUGGGCUUGUCUUUGCUUCACAUGUUGCAUGCAUGCCUAUCUUCAUGAAAUCUUCAUUAAUUCACAUGGAAAUUUAUAUUGAUAAGAUGUGUUUCUUCCAUAUGAUGCCAUUUGACAAGACUCUUAGCAGGAUGCCAAGGAUAUUCGGUCCCACCAUAACCUUUAUUCAUGCAUGCAAGCCAACAUUCUGCCACAUCACAUCACCAUUUCCUUAUCCCAUACGUAGGCUAAAGCCUAUCAUGACCAUCACAUCCCAGCCAUGCCAUGUGAUAAGAGUCCCAACUCGAACUAUGUUGUUUACUUCUAGAUCGCAGAUAUAGUUUGCAUCCCAUUUAUCUUGGAUAGGAAAACGUUAAGAUAAUUCUUUAUUAAAAGAUAAUUAUUAUGAUAAAUCAAUAAUAAUAUCCUUUACCAAUAACAAAAUUAUCUUCACUUUCUCAUUCCAUGGUCUAAAAUUCUACUCAUUCAACGGUUUAAAAUUCUGCCCAUUCAAUGGCCUCGAUUACUCUAGCCGAUAGUGUAAAAUCGGGUGCAAACAUUGCCCUCCAGUUUCAUUAAGCUUUGGCUCAUAAGCUGAAUGGUCAAGGAAAUUAUUCGUCAACGCAUAUCAAAAUUUGUUGAUAUGCUUUAAUGAUCCGGUCAAGGAGUUUGUUAUACCUUUCGGCCGGUGAGUAAAAUUUGUUGAUGUUACAUUGGGUGUGCUGCUAACUUCUUGAUCUUGCAAUUGCAGCCGAAGAAGGAACACGUCUCGGCCUUCGGAUUCUAGAGCCUAAAGACAAGGCUACUAGUUCUGCGAAGUUCAAUAUCAAAUUUGGCUCUCAAGGUGUCAAAUAUAGUAACCUGGUAACACCUCACUUCACGUAGAAGGCUGAUGAGAUGACCUCUGAAAAUAAGGAUUUGAAAAUCCAUCUCGACCGAGACUUGGAUAGAUAACCAGUCGGCCUCAUUGCAGUGUUGUUUAUCCAAACUGAAGGUGUUUCGCGGUGGGCUGAUUCUACGGACAACAGUGUUGUUUAUCCAAACUGAAUCCAAACUGAAGGUGUUUCGCGGUCGGCUGAUUCUACGGACAACAGUGUUGUUUAUCCAAACUGAAGGUGUUCGCCGGUUGCCUUCACAGUGCUGUUUAUCCAAACUGAAAAUGUGUUGGUGAAAAAGAAAAUAAAAAUCUCAAGAUUGUUGAGAGGUUUCGCGUAGAGCGAGAGUUUGCGCAGGGCAGUUUGUAUGUUGAGUUAGAAAGGCUUUUUCCAUUGCCACUGCCUCUAUAUUUAUAGGGACGAGUACGCGGUUGAUUAACUUUGAAGUUCCACCACGCUACUAAAACUCUUUCACUAUUCAAACCUUAGUCAAAUCAUAAUCUCUUUAGUGUAAUCCGCAUGCAUCUUUAUCAUGUGCCCAUCACUAUUUAAACAAUAUUUCAUGAUGAGGCCAUGUGCUUGAUGAGAUGUGUUUCUAUCUCAAAUGGGACUCUAGGCGGAUAACAAGGAGCCACGUAGGCUUGUCUCUAUUUCAUAUAUUGCAUGCAUGCCUAUCUUCAUGCAAUCUUCAUUAAUUCACAUGGAAAUUUAUAUUGAUGAGAUGUGUUUCUUCCAUGUGAUGCCAUUUGACAAGACUCUUAGCAGGAUGCCAAGGAUAUUCGGUCCCACCAUAACCUUUAUUCAUACAUGCAAGCCAACAUUCUACCACAUCACAUCACCAUUUCCUUAUCCCAGCCAUGCCAUGUGAUAAGAGUCCCAACUCAAACUGUGUUGUUUACUUCCAGAUCGCAGAUAUAGUUUGCAUCCCAUUUAUCUUGGAUAGGAAAAUGUUAAGAUAAUUCCUUAUUAAAAGAUAAUUAUUAUGAUAAAUCAAUAAUAAUAUCCUUUAACAAUAACAAAAUUAUCUUCACUUUCUCAUUCAACGGUCUAAAAUUCUGCUCAUUCAACGGCCUCGAUUACUCGGGCCAAUAGUGUAAAAUCGGGCGCAAACAAUUGUAUAUGUGACUUUUGUUGUAAUUUAGUGUAAUGCUUGUACAUAAUUCUAUUUGAAUAUGUGACUAUUUAAAAAGUUAUUGUAUUAUAGUUAAUUAGCAAUUUUUUGGGUAUUUCUAAUAUUAUUUUUAAUUAAAAUGUUUUUUAUUUUUUUAUUUUUAGAAAAUUUUUUACAAUGGGCAUUGGCCUUGGACAAUUAAUGAUUCACAACGGUUUUAGCAUGUGGUGUUAGGUUACAAUUUACCACGAGUCAUGUCUGUGAUUAUUUGCUUAUUGACAUCGUACUUUGCCCGUGGUAAAAACCCGAACUUUUUAUCACAUCCAAAAUAUUAACAGGCAAAGUGUCCGUGGUGGAUUUCGAUCUACAAUAGGCAUCCAUUAUGGUUGAUGACCUUUUUUCUCCUAGUAUAAAGGUCAUUUGCUUUUUGGAGAAGAGAUAAAUUGGAGGGAAAAGAGAGAAAUCAGAGUGGAAAUAAGGAAGAGAGAAGGAUAUGGAUGAAAUUGUUUCGCGUACUCGUUCGUUCUGUUCGUAUUAAGCUUGCUCAUACACUGUAUGUACACGACAUGCACAUGUUAUGCUCACAAAUCUGAGCUCAAACCCAUAGCUCAGAACUCUCUUUUCGAAAUCAGAAAAAUGAUGCAUUCAGAUAAAUGACCUAAACUUUAUAUGAAGAAUCGAAAAUUCAUUCAUUUGAAUUUGGUAUCAAAUUUGAUUGAGUUCAAAUAUUUCAAGGAUUUAAAAAUUGCAGUUUGAAUGGGCACAAAAAAACCCAAUUGAAUCAAAGAAAAUUGUUUCACGAACUCGUCGCCUACCUAUAAAUCAAAGGAAAAAGUAGUAAACUACAUUAAAGAGAAGAGUAUCAAAGAUGUAAAUACGCAUCAUAUACAUUAUAUGUGCACCACAUGCACAUAACAUGUCCAGUACAUGCACAUGAUAUGCACAUAACGAGAGACACUUUAACGGCAACAUAUUGGUAUAGUGGAUACAAUUAAAAUAUAAUUGUUACGUAUAUAUGGUUACAAUGACAAUUUGAAAAGUCUUGUUACGUAUAUCAACCACUGCUUAAUCAGGCACAUGGAAAACAUGAUACUCGUUGUCGUUAUUUCAUGGACAUGCAUGACCAUUAACGUCCUCUAAGCUUUUUUUAAUUUUGUUUUUCGCCGAGGCCAACUAGGUUGUUGUCAUACUUGCCAAAUUCCGGGGCACAACAUACGUGCAUCAUAACUAGUGAACAUUCCUGCUUCUCAUAUUAAGAUGUAGCCAUGCACACCAUAUGCACAUGACAGAAAAAUUUUCACAAAUUUCUGCAAUUGGACACUUGAACCUGAAAUUGUUCCAUCCCAGUUUUGUAGCAUGUCAAAACUUGAAAUUUAUUCCACAACCAAUACGCCCCAACAUGAAACACAAACCCUAAUUUAACUUAUAAGUAUUAAUUCAUCUUACAAACAACCCAUUUAUUUCAUGAAUCAUUGAUGAAGGAACUUGGAACUAAACAUUGUACCUUACUAUGCAUGUCGAAGCUUUAGUUGCCGGAAAAAAUGAAACUUUCUGGCCAAAACAGAAAAUAUGGUACAAAAUCCAGCUCACUCUUCUCACCUCUCUCUCACAUCCCUUUAUUCGAUAUUAGAGUUAUGAGGUCAACCCAAAACCCAACUCAUUCCCUCUCUUCGAAAUUGGAGCUCAGAGAUCUGAGCUCAACCCAGAAACCCAGAGCUCACAAAGCUCUCUUGACAUCCCUCUCUUCUAAAUGUGAACAAUGAUGCAAUGUGUUGGUGAUUUUUAGUAUUUAUAUGCGAGUAUUUUAGUAAUUUUGGUUUUGUGCAUGGUGUGCAUGGCUUGUGAAUGAUUGGUUCGUCCUAUUUAUGUCCCAAGAUUAAUGAAUUGUCCCAUUUUGGGGUAUUUCCCAAGUAUAUAAUGGCAUAAGGAAAUAUAAAAAUACAUAGCUAUGUGUAUAACUAUUGACUUUGUAUCAAAAUUAUUAGAAACCUACAUUUGAGUGUCGUAACAAUGAUGUGAUACAAUUUUUUCCGAAUAUGAGAACACAGUCAUGGACUAUGUAAAUGAAUGUAUGAUAAUUUUUUUAAGCUUCUUUUUUAUAAUUCCAUGAUUGUAAAUCCUUGACUCCGCCACUGCAGCAGCAAAACUUAUUAUCUAGUACGAACUCGGACGAAUGCUAAGUUCCAUUAGAAAACUUCAGCUUAUAUUAUUUGAGUCUCAAGCAAAAAGUUGAGUGUCGAAUUGGAUAAUGUGGAAUUUGUGGCUAUAAAGAGUGGAACUUUUAAUUUAUGGCUGUACGCAGUGCAGCUUUUAUCUUUUGGUCUCUUGCCAAUAUUAACGUGAAACAUACAUUCUAGGGAGAAAAUCCUCAUGUGAAGUACGAAGUAUCAAAUAUUAAAUCCACAUUAUUACUGCCAACCCUAUUGCAUAAUUCACAGGUGUAAUAAUCUGGUCAGCAAUCGAAGUAUCAAAUAUUAAAUCCACAUUAUUACUGCCAACCCUAUUGCAUAAUUCACAGGUGUAAUAAUCUGGUCAGCAAUCGUGACAAUUCAUGUACCUAUUUCCAUCUUUGAGAUUUUCCAUGAUCCUCUCGAGUGCCAUUGGAUAUUCCGAGUUUUUGACCAUUAGAUCUGUGAUAAAAAAAACACUAAAACCAAAAUCCAACGGUUCAAAUGCUCAAAAUAUCAUGUAGUUUAGAGCACUGUGGAAUUUUUGUUCCAUCUUCAUCAUGCACUCAUUUUCCCUAUAUAAAACACAAUAGCCCUUACAAGUAUCAGCUGGGAAGAACAAUAUUAAUGAAGAAGGUUAUGGCUUGUGAGAACAAGAAGAUACUGAUAUUUGGAGCCACAGGGUACCUAGGCAAGUACAUGGUGAAAGCAAGCGUUUCAUUGGGCCAUCCAACCUAUGCUUACGCCCGAUCAAUCAAACCCAACACUCACCCUUCCAAGCUUGAGCUGCAUAAAGAAUAUGAAGCCAUGGGAGUCACCAUCUUCCAAGU
This 81596-nucleotide long non-coding RNA is filed under the name Malus domestica (apple). Its description in RNAcentral is "long non-coding RNA (MDOM_LNC003152)". Lineage: Eukaryota; Viridiplantae; Streptophyta; Magnoliopsida; Rosales; Rosaceae. The record is from RNAcentral.